UCUUUAUGUCUUUGGAGAGAGAUUCAUGGGACUGUGUCUGAUCAGGGGCAUGCAGCAACAGAUCAUCCAGUAUGGAUGAGAGUUUCUGGAGUUUUGAAUGCAGCACUUAGGGAUGGCAAUACCCCCCGAACCCGCGGGUAUCCACCCCGCCCCUACCCGCUUGAGGCAGAUUUUUAGCGGGGCAGGGCGGGGUCGGGUUUAGGUAAUACCUGCCCCGCUAUAUAUAUAAUAUAUAUAAUUUUAAUAUAUAAUAUGUAUAAUAUAUGUAAAAUAGUUAGUAAAUGAUUAAUAAUAUUGUAUCAUAUUUAAAUUUUUAUUUUAAUUUAUGUUAUGUAUGUGAUGAUAGUUAUAUAAAUUUUGAAAUUUAAUUUUAUUUAUUGGAUUUUAAUAAUUAUAGGGGCGAGUAGGAGCGGGACGGGUAAUCGCAGGGACGGGUUAGGGGUCAACGUUUUACUACUCGCGGGUAGAAGCGGGGCGGAUUCUAUGCGAGUUGUUGUACGGCGGGACGGGGUCGGAUAGAACAAAAACCCGCCCCUACCCGCCCUAUUGCCACCCCUAGUAGCAUUGAGCUUUUCUUUGUCAUCCUUUCUCUCUUUUUUCUCUGAUGUGUGCAGUUGAAAAUAGUGGGUGUUUUGAGGUUGCAGUUACUAACUCUUGAGAAAUGGAAACUGUGGGAUUAGAAAGGAGGUACGUGGCAUUUGUAAUUGGACCCAUCAAACCUGAAUAAUAAAAACAAGGAAGGCCCAAUCUAAUGCUAAUUAACAAGAAGUUACAACAUUUCAUAAAAACCAAUUCACAUUGUAAUUAAAAAUGUUACAUGUUUGUCAAUUCACAUACUCUCUCAGUUUUGAUUAAUUUAUAAAUAGUCCAAAGUUUAUAAGAACAAUACGACUAUUACUAUUCCAAAUUAAAAUAUACUCUUCUUUUAUUCUUAAGUUUUCUACAUGCAAGUUUUAAUUUAUUUUUCAAACCAAUUUUAGCCUGCAUCAGUCACUAAAAAAAUCGGCGGCAUUUGAGAAGUGGCUGCGGGUUAUUGAAAAUGGUGUUGGAGAAGAAAAUGAAUAAUGCAACAUAUUUUUUUUUUUGAAAAGAUAAGAGAAUGCAUUCAUUUAGGGAAGUAAAUAAGUACAGAGGUCCUUAUUAAGGAAAAAAAAGGGAGAAAACCCAAAGAAAACACUAAACAACAACAUAAAGAAAAAAUAAGAGAGAAAUUAGGUCGCAUUAUAUUUGGUAAGGAACUCUUCAUUAAAGAAUGUUGCAUCAUUCCAAAUCAUUCCAAUGCAACAUUUGUUUUUGUUUGAUGUUUUGUGGAGAUGAAUUAUUCCGGUGAUGUGGGCUAAUUCUUGAUCUUUUGUUGGAUUGAAUUUGUUUGAUACGGUGCUUGAAAUAAAUAAAUAAUUAAUAAACCUAUUUUUGAAAUUAAUUUUUAUUAUUCAAAAUAGUAAAAAAAUAAUUGCAAUAAAAGAUUCAACAAAAUUACUUAUUAGCACGUAAUAAGCAAUCAUCAAAUAUUCAAAUGAGUGAUGCCACAUUUUUCUUUUUAAUGGGCUCUUCUGUUAUUCUUAGACAGAAUGUGUCAAUUGUUGUAUGGAAAUCUCAAUACAAAUUGUGACUUCAAUCACAUUGGACAUUGGGUAUGGUUAGAGUGCUUUGGUGUUCCUUUGCAUACGUGGUCAGCAGAAACGUUCAAGAUAAUAGAAAGCUAAUGGAGAGAAGUUAUCGUGAGUGACAAAGCCACGGAAUCAUACCUCUCAUUCAGUGUGGAACGGGUGUAAAUUGAUACCUGUAUCAUGGACAUCAUCAACGAGUGGAUUCACGUCACAAUUGGGACUAGCGAAUUUGAUGUCCUGGUUAAAGAGGUUGGUCAUAAGAGUUAUGGAAUGGAGUGCAAGCUUGCAGAGGUAGGCUAUAUUUGUAUCCCAAAAGCAUGCGAGAUGGUUGAAAGCAAUUCAAGCACCAUUGUACCGGUGGAAAGCAGAGAUCCGGUGGUUGAGUUGGUGAUGGCGAUGCCAAGAGAGGAAGAAACAGAGAAGGGCAGAGUAGUAAUUCCAGAGAAUAUUUUGAAUGAAUGGAGUAAUUGCAAUUCAAUUCAAAUUCGUGCAGCAAGAGAAACUGAUGAUUCUAAUUUAGAGAAAAAUGAUAAUUUUAUGGGAUAUAAUGAUUUGAUUAUUAAUGAUACUAAAUCAGAAAAAAUAAUUAGCUGUGAUUAUGAGAACGGUGGGUUGAAGAAAAGGCAUUCUUGAAGAAAAAAAGAAACCCAAAACAUGCUUCUUAGUAGGCCCAAUAAUGAUUUUUGUAACAGUUGUGCCAAAGGAGAGAGCUUGGGCCUCAUUUCCUUACUUGGAAGCCCAGCUCACGAUGAUGCUGCUGGAGGAGGUGGGCUGGUGAGUUCGGGUCAGGCAAGGGUGGACCGGGUUGUAGCCGCUCCAAAUCAUGUGUCAUGCACUGCGGUUCAACAACAGUUUGAAGGGGAGAUCUCUCUUCUGGACGGCGCACCUGAUCCACGCAGCAUGGGAAAGCUGAAGGCAGAGCUCCAAGCCGGCGAGCAGCGACGGGUUAGUGAAGGUGAGGAUGCCGUCGGGCCUGCAAUGGUGAAUGCUUCUCACGAGUGACAACCGUUGGGACGCCCCUUAUGGAACCAGUAUCAUCGCCUGGGUACCGCUCAUCGCUGGCAAUGACGGGGCUACGCUCUUCAAUGGAUGGUGGGCUUGACGAGGAAGCGGCGGUGAGGUGCUUCGUGCGUCGGAAAAGUGCCGCGAGCUCCCAAGAUGGUCUGAUUAGAGGUGGAGAAGACGCACUUGGAGGCUGCCCGACCUUGAAUGAUGCAGGGAUUGAUGGAGGCAGAAUCGUGACUGGGAUUGCAGUGGACAUUGGUGUUGGAAUGCCGGGAAAUAGUGAUGGAAACACGUUGGAAUAAGAGGAGCAGAUGCUGGAAAAAGGAGGACUUGGGAGUUGGCUAUUGAAUUAGGAGCCGUGCAGUACAACGACGAAGAUGAUAUCAUGGCAAUUCUUCAAGAAUAGAAUGAAACAUUUGCUCAAAAGAGGAGAUUAGCGAAGCAGAAAGAAAAGGCACGAAGAUGCAGACCCAAGAAUCUCAAAAAGGUGUGUAAAAUAAUAUUAAAAUGAUUUUUAGCUCUUAGAAUAUUAGGGAGUUACGGGGUGUUAGAAAAUUAAGUAUGGUGAAAGAAUUAAAAAAGAAGCAAAAAGUGAAUAUGUUAGGUUUGGUUGAAACUAAGAUGCAAGUUGUAACUAAGUUUGAUAUAGUACGUAUUUGGGGGAGUGAUACUGUGGGGUGGGAGUGAGUAGGGUCGGAAGGCACAUCUGGGGGUCUGUUAUUAAUGUAGGAUGACAUCAUGUUUAAAAUGAAUUAGUGUUACAAAAGGGACAGAUGGUUAUGUAUUGAAGGAGUGCUUUUAAAAAAUGAGUUCAAUUGUGCAUUUUGUUUAGUAUAUGAUGCUCUUAUUAGGAUUGAGAAACUGGCUAUGUGGGAUGAAUUGAGCUUUAUAGCUGGGUUAUGUCAAGGUCUGAUGUGCUUCAUAGGAGACUUUAAUUAGGUUAUACAGGUUGAAGAGAGGAAAAGUCAGGACAGGAUAACAGUGUUGGCAGAAGAGUUCAAGGAUUGGAUUCAAGAUAUGUAGUUAGUAGACUUACCGUUGAAUGAUAAAAAAUAUACAUGGUUUAGAGGCCGCUCCUGCAGUCGUAUUGAUAGAGUGGUCUAUUGAGUGUAGAUUGGCUUGAGAAGUUUCCGAAAACUCGAUUAAAAGGUGGAAUGAGAGGUUUGUCAGAUCACUAUCUGGUUAAAGUUGAGGACUCAAAAUUCAGCGGUGGUGUGAAUGAUUAUCCGACUUUGGGAGGCUUUGGUCUAUUCCGAGUUCAUUGAAAUAACAUUUUGAGAGUUUGACAUGAGUCGUCAGGAGGAAGGAGGAGCGAAACAAGUGGCUCAUAUGUUUCUUUGCAGCUAUUUGAAAUGUUUAGCUAGAGAAGAACGGGCGGAUCUUUAAUAACAAGUAACUCGGAGUAGAAGAGGUGUUUCACAAAAUCUUGACCAAUUACAGAGAAUGGUGUAGUUUGGAUCCCUUUUGUUGUUGAUGGCAAUGCCAGAGAUAACACUUGGGAUUGUUUUCAGGUUUUUUUUGUUGGAUAUUAGUGUUUUAAACUCUGUUUGAGACUUUGUCGCUCCACUUUAUUGUGUUGAGCUCGCAAAUUCAAAAAAAAAAAAAGAAAAAAAAGAUAUCAAAACAUUGAUGUAGAGAAAGGAACAAUUAAUUAUUUAUUUUAGUUUAAAAAUUUGAAAAACCAGCAAGUAAUGCAAAUCUACAAACCUCAAUAGUUAUUGUUUUUAUUGACAAAGUGACCGUGUUUACAUGCAAAAAACGAAAAAGGAAAAAAAAAAGAAAAAAAUUGAGAGAGGAAGUCCAAAACUUUUUCUCUCAUUCGUAUAAUCCAAUUCCUCUUCCUCCUUUGCAGUUUGCAAUCUGAGUCUGCAUUUCUGCAUUCAACUUCUUCAGAAGAGAAGAUGAUGGUUCUGUCUCAGAAGAUUCAUGAAGCUUUCAAGGGCACAGUAGAGAGGAUCACGAGCGCUCGAACCGUCUCAGCCUUCAAAGAGAAAGGAGUUCUCAGUGUCUCCGAGUUCGUCAUCGCCGGCGACAAUCUCGUUGCCAAAUGCCCCACUUGGUCCUGGUAAAUUUUUCCCCUUUCUUUUUUUUUUCAUCCCAAAGAUUUCAUCUUUCUUAAUUAGGGUCCAUGUUACACGAUGUUUUCGUUCCUCUAAUGGCUAUUCGUUAUUUCCAAAAUAUAUAUUUUUUUAAAUCUGCUUUCAAGCCUCAAAAUUUUACCUCUCAGAAGGAUUUCGAUCAAGUUAUAUAGGUUCGGUUCCUGUAACAAAGGGUUUGGGGUCAUAUGGGACUUUCGGGGAUGAUUUGAAUCAUGUACAUAUAUUAAGUACAAGCAAGCAUUGAAAAUUUUCAUUCAUUUGUGUUAUGGCAAUUGCUAAAGCUCAAAAUUAAGAGGUCCUUCUUUUUGUGCCCUCAUUAAUUAUUAAUGUUCUAUUUUUCCAUUGCGUAAUAGGAAUCAAAUGAGCCAAGCAAAAGGAAGCCAUAUUUGCCAGCGGAUAAACAAUUCUUAAUUACUAGGAAUGGUAAGAGUCGAGCUUGAGAUGUAUUUGUAUGUCAUACAUCUUCUUUGUUCUUGUUAUCUUCAAUCUAGUUUGAACUGUGUUAUGUUGUUCUUUCUGUCCUUAAAGUUAGAAAGUUAUGAUACCUGUAUUUCCCUGAGGUUCUCCUGAAUUUGUUAUUGUGGUCUAAACAAGUAAACUAUGGAUGUCCUCAUUAAUGCUAGUUUAUGAAGUUGCUUAACACUUGACAGUGCCUUGUUUGCGGAGAGUUGCAUCUGUUGAAGAAGAAUAUGAAGUGGUUGGAGGAGAAGUUCUACUUGAUGAUGAAGAAAAUGAUGGAUGGCUAGCAACUCAUGGAAAACCUAAAGGUAUGUAUGUUGCUGGAGGCGUUAUUCUAGGGUUGUGUUACAUCGCCUUACACAAGCUUGGGGUUAGGUUAGUCCACUACUUAAAAUAACCCCCACAAUCUUAGUGCAAUAAUGGUUUUGUAGUAUUUGCUUUUUACAAAUAUAGGCUUUUUCCAAAUUUAGUUAGUAUUAUGUUCAUUAAAUGCAAGUGGUGAGGCAACAGCAUUGUAGAUCGGUGCCAACGUCAGACUCUCAUGUCGAGCUUUUAGGCGUGNCUCUUACCAAUUUUGUCCACCCUCUCAUCAUCUAUGCUUCGAUCUGUGCUCAUUGUUGUGACCAGAUGUCGAUUCUGUGUUCCGUUGAAUUUCCUAAUUCUGCUCCUCCUUUUGAUGAAAAAGAGAAUGAAUGAUUAAGUUGCUCCAUUGGCAUACUCACAUAAGUAUAUUUGGUUGGCCAAUCAAAUCCUUUAAUAAUAUGUUUUCCACUUUGGAACUGCUCCCCUCCCCCGCCCACCUUCCACCCACCCACCAUAACCACAAAAAAAAAAACCCCUUGACGGGCUUUCCAUAUUUAAAUUAAGUUCUUACCACUUGUGAGCGAGAUACAAGCAAAUGUCCUGGUAGACAGGUAUUAAGGUCUCGGCAACUGUUUUUCCCUUGAGUCCAAUGUGGCUAGCUCACCUCCAGGGCUCUAUCCCACAAAGACCUAAGGAUUUAUCUGCAAAAUAUUAAAAUCUCCAAAAUUUCAAAUAAAUUUUCAAGCUACUAACCAGAAUUGAAAUAAUUACCAUUGAAAUUGAAAUAAAAUCCAUCCUAUGGUUGUGAGCAUGAAUUAUGCAUCUAUUUAUAAUACUUUAUACAGGACUAGCAUAACUCCCAAACUUGUGAGAGUAACAAAACAAGAGCUUCUAUUCUAUAUCAGUAUAUUGUGAUUUGGUUCUAAUCCCAUUCCCUGAUGCUCAUACCUUACACCUUAUACCUUACACCGCCCAAUUAAGACUUAACAGUUCUCUGAUCUUCAUUGCCAAAUCACCGUCCUAACAAAAUGGCUGCUGAGAAUCAAAUUAAAACAACAAAGAAAUAUCUAUGGAGUCGAUUUUAAUAAUGACUGACUUGCAUAUACUCUCUCAAACAAGAACAAAUCCCCUUCAAAUAAUAAAGAAUUCAUUCUAAAAAAUAUUCCAAAUUAAAAGAGGGUCAAAACGAUCCUUUAUCCAAGAAUCAUUUUUUCGUUCAAAACACACGACCAAAACCGGUAAAAUUAUGGUUCUAGAAGAUGAUAGCGUCGCAAUUAACUUUUACCAUGUCCGUAAAAAAAGUAGUCUAAACAAGAUCAACGUUUUGAGUAUGAUGAAGAUGUCUAAACUUGUAAAAAUCAUGCACAAGUUUUAUAGAAUUAAAAGCAACCUUAUAAUCUGAUCGAACAUUUUGAAUGUUAAAAAUUUGUUAGUUACGGUGACGCCAAAUUCAUCAAAGCUCAAUAAAAGAAAAUGAAGUUUUCUUUCACUAAUUUUGACCGAAGAUAGUUAAAGAUGAUUAUUAGUCCACUAGUAAAAACAUCAUUAUCUAACCUUAUUAUUCUCAAGAUAGCUAUUAGCUCAAACACUUUGAGCCUUAUCACAAUUUAAAAAAGAAUGGAAAAUAGACUCUGUUCUCACUUCUCACAUUAGAGUGUGGAUACUGAUUCUCUACUUUUAAUUACAGGAAAGAGUCACAUAUAAUUAUUUUAAUAUAAAAUUAAAAUAAAAAAAUUAUUGCAUAAUUUUUAAUUAUUCAUAUAACGAUUUUUAAUUAUUAACAUAUCACGUGAAGAAUUUCCCCGUUUAGUUAUACAAUAUGUGCUGCUACUGUUGUUCUAUUUCUGCCACUGCCAUUCGGAUCCUGAGAAGUAGCUUCUGCACAAGUCAACACCAACGAAAAUAUUUUUCCACAUGAGAAAUAAUUCGAAAAAAGAAGAAUAAAUUAAAAACAAAAAACAACAAUUCUAUACAAGUUCAACUUACUUUUCGUGCAGACCCCAUCAAUGGGAACCCACACAAGAUCAUUGAUGCAAAAGCACCCCUUGAUUCCACUCCCAGAGCUAGGAUCUAGUCCACAUGCCGACGUGGCAGAAUCACAAUCCUUCUGCAAUGCGCAAACCGUUUCCCUGGGCAACAACCACUGGAUCUCCAAACCGGGUUAGGGCCACCGGUUCACCGGAAGAUCCGGGUUUAAGUUCACAAAACUCGAAUAGGCACUGCAACCAACAUCCCUAACCCGAAUCUGGUAGGAGGUAGUGGACCCGCCGGUAUGGAACGUGCAACAAAGUAGUCCGUUAUUACAAACGGAGGCGGAGGCGGUGGCAUUGAUGUAGCUAUGGCAGAGGCAGGAGGAGGAGCAGUUAAGUGGCGACAUAAGAAGCGCUUGGGUGCAAUUGAGGUAAACAAUGGUGUUGGAGCUUGUGAUGUUAAAAGGGAGAGUGUUGUUGAGUUGGAUCCCUUGGCAUUAAAUAUCAUUCAUGAAAGUAAGGAUCUUGAGCUAAGAAUAAUAGAAGAAUGUCGACAAAGAAAUGAUUGGCCAAAAUGGGAAGAAGCUUUGAAGGUUGAGUUAGGCUCACUUGUAAAAUGUGAAGUCUUUGGACUUGUAGUCCGUACACCAGAAGAUGUAAAACCUGUUGGAUACAGAUGGGUAUUUGUGAGAAAACAAAAUGAGAAUAAUGAAGUUGUACGCUACAAAGCUCGACUUGUGGCACAAGGUUUUUCACAAAGGCCCGGUAUAGAUUAUGAAGAAACAUAUUCCCCUGUAGUGGAUGCAAUAAGUCAAUAACAUUGCGUUAUUUGGUCAGUUUAUCUGUAUACCAUAAACUACAUAUGCAUUUAAUGGAUGUGGUAACAGCCUAUGUAUACGGAUUAAUAGAUCGUGAUAUUUAUAUGAAAGUCCCUGAAGGACUAAAGAUGUCUAAACCAUCCAAUGAAUAUUCGCAAGGGUUAUACUCAGUUAAAUUGCAAAGAUCUUUAUAUGGUCUAAAGCAAUCUGGACGAAUGUGGUAUAAUCGUCUUACUGAGUAUAUGGCCAAAAACGGAUUCAAGAAUGAUGACAUCUGUCCAUGUGUUUUCAUAAAGAAAUAUGCAUCUGGAUUCAUUAUAAUUGUUGUGUACGUUGAUGAUUUAAAUAUCAUUGGAACCCCUGAAGAGAUUCCAACAAUUAUAAAAGCUCUAAAAGAAGAGUUUGAGAUGAAAGAUCUUGGAAAGACUAAAUUUUGUUUCGGCUUGCAGAUCGAGCAUACAAAAAAUAGGAUCUUUAUUCGUCAAACAACAUACACAGAAAAGAUUUUGAAGAGAUUUUAUAUGGAUAAGUCAUAUGCAUUAAGUACUCCAAUAAUCGUAAGGUCUUUGGAUAUGGAGAAUGAUCAAUUCCAUCCUAAAGAAGAAAAUAAAGAUAUCCUUGGUCCUAAAGCACCAUAUCUUAGUGCCAUUGGAGCGCUAAUGUAUCUUGUUAAUAACACACGACCCGAUAUAUCAUUUGUUGUGAACUUACUAACAAGGUAUAGUUCCUCUCCAACCAGAAGACAUUGGAGUGGAAUCAAACAAAUCUUUCGAUAUCUUCAUGGAACAGUUGACAUGGGAUUGUUUUAUCCAUGUGGAUCAAAGUCACAACUAGUUGGCUAUGCAGAUGCAGGAUAUUUGUCUGAUCCACACAAAGAGAAAUCUUAAACAGGAUACCUGUUUACAUAUGGUGGUACAUCUAUAUCAUAGAGGUCCACGAAACAGAUGAUUGCAGCAACAUCUUCUAAUCAUGCUGAAAUACUAGCGAUACAUGAAGCUAGUCGCGAGUGUUUUUACAACAGAUACAGAUGUAAUGAAAGAAGAAAUGCAGAUUAGUUCUGAAAAAAAAAGGAAGAAGACGAACUACAACUUAUGUAGUAAUGCCAGACAACACUACUGUCACAGAUCCUACUACAAAUCAACAAGCCAAAGACUAUUACAAAGAUAGGCUGAUAGGUGAUGGAUUGGAGAAGCUCAAUCCCAAGGAAAUUGUUGAAAUGGUGGCAGAGGAUUACGUUUUGGAUAACGAAUUAAUGGAAGCGGACUAGGAGAUACAGGCUCUCUUCAAUCCAAACCCAGUGAUCGAAAUCACGCUUGAAGAAUACGAUGAGUGGUGUAGACUAGGGGUGGCAAACGGGAAAAAACCAACCGAGCCGGCCCGCGUAACCCGCCAAAAAGGCGGGUUGGACUGAAAUUUUGAGACUGUCAAACUUAAAAAGCCCACCUAACCCGCAUCGCCAAAUCUGUGGGAUUUGGCGGGCUUCAGCAGGGCAGGGCGGGCUUCCCCAGUGGGCCAUGCAUUUUUUGUCAGAGCUUUUUUUACCAAUUUAUAUAGUGUUAUUGAUUUACAAGAGGAUGAAGAUGAUAAUUGAAGACGUUCUAAGUUAUAUUUUGGAUUCUAUUUUAUGUUUGAUUGAUUAUAAACUUGAAGAUGUUUAAUUAUAUAUUUUAGACAAUGUUUGUUUUGCUUUGGACAAUGUUGGUGUUAUUAUUUUGUUUCAAAAAACUUGGUUUAUAAUUAUGUUUAUUACAUAUUUAUGAUUAUAAAGACUUUAAUAUUCGUGAAUUUAGAAAUUAUAACUUUUUUAUGUCUUUAAAAAUUAUAAAUUUAUUAAAAUAGUUGUGAAAUUAUAUAUAUUGUUUAAUAUUUAAUGGUUUAUAAAAAAAAUUGACGGGCUGUUAGGCGGGGCGAGGCAGGACAGGCUUCCCCGUUUGCCACCCCUAGUGUAGACCAUGGAAACAAACGUUGAUUGUGAAGUCUAUGGGAAAAAGAAUCUCCUUAUAGAUAAUGGAGAGGUGAAUCAAUAGAAGGUGGAAGAAAAAAGAGAGCAUUCGGGUUAUGGAUUUGAAAGAAGAAUUUUUCUUUGUCCAUUUUUUCAGUUAUGAAGAAUAUGCUUAUGUCCUGUUUGAAGGUUCUUGGAUGAUUUCAGACCAUUAUCUCCUCAUCUAAUGAUGGAAGCCUUUGUUUAUACCUCAAGAGCUACAAGUCAAGAAAGUUGCUGUGUGGGUUAGAAUUCCCAACCUGCUAGCAGAGCUCUAUAAUAAAUAUUUCUUAUGGAAGGUUGGUGGAACUCUUAGUACUAAGCUAAGGGUAGAUAAGUUAACAUCAAUCUAAAGAGGCAAGUUUGCAUGCAUAUCCGUUGAGAUUGAUUUGAGGAACCAACUUAUUCUGUCCUUCACAGCCUUGAAAAAGGAAUUUAGGUGAGAGUAUGUGGGCUUGCAUCAAAUUUGCUUUAGAUGUAAUAGGUAUGGCCAUAAGUUUGAUUUGUGUCUGGAGAUUUUUAGAGAAGGAGUUGAAGGAAGUGAGAAGAUGUCUCCAACUAAAGAUAACCAAUGCCAGGAAGGGGAUGGUAGCUCCUCCACCCACGGCUAGCAACAACCGAAAGAAAGGGAAAGGUCGAAAAGGGAAGAUAUGGUGAUGGCGAAAAAGCAGAAAAUCAUCAUUAAUGAUCAACAAUUGUCUCAUAAUGUGGAAAAUCAACAUCACAUUAAUGCACCUACCAACAAAGAAGUCGUUACUACAAAAGAGAAAAUCCCAUUUGAGCCUUGGAUAGUGGUUAAAAAAUCCCAAAGAAGAAACAAGCAAAAAUUUUUGGGGGAAUAAUCAAGCUAAAAAAAUAUGCUAACUACCAUAUAUGAGAUUCUGAAUUAACAGGAAUUAAUUGAGGAGUAGCAAAUCAUUAAUACGGAUAAGACCAAAUCGGGUAGGAGAAUGGAAAGGGAAACUAGCUAGAACGGUUACUCUUAGCAAAACAAAAAUGCAAACCAAGGACGAAAUCAGAAGUGGGGCUAACCAAGAAUUCCACCAGCAAUACCACAAUGAGGGAAACCCAUAAAAUAAUAGAAAAAGGAAUACAAAACAACCUCAUACAAAUAAUGCAAGACAGAAUAAUGUUGAACACAUAUUAACUCCAAAUAAGAAUAUGAAGAUUGCAGCAUCUACUAAGGAAAAAAAAGUUGCUCUUCAGAAAUAUUGGGAUCAAUUUAAAAGGGUUGGAAAUCAGGUUUACCAAAGCCAUCAAAAUGAAUAUCUCAUCUCUACUAAUGCCGCCUUUGACCCCCCUCCCCCCAUCUUGUUCUCUAAUUUCUAAAAUCAUGGGAGACAGAACUAGAGAUCAAAGUUCAGAACAUGUCAAAGAUAAACCUCCUGAAUCAAGAACUAAUAGUCAAAAAGUUGUCAUGAUGGAAAAAGUCAAUUGUUUAUUAGGAGAAACUCUUCCUAAUGGGAGUGAGGGAGCUGCUGCUCCAAAAAACAACUCUAUGAAAGCUUGAGGACUUUUCUUUCGAGUUUAGGGAGUUAUUCUUACUCUUGCUAGUUACUUUACUUUUAAAAAUAAUUUUUAUGAUGAAUAUUAUCAUUUGGAACUAUAGAGGAGCUGCUUUAAAUGGGUUCAAUUCUAUUAUUUCUGAUUUAAGAUACAAAUAUAAUUUCAAGUUUUGUAUCUUACUUGAAACUCACGUCUCAGGAACUAAGGUCGAAGGCAUUGUUAAGCAUUUGGGCUUUGACUCGUGAUGCUUCAAUGAAGUGGAAGGAUUCUCUGGUGGUAUUUGGUGUCUGUGGAUAAAAGAGUUUUGGAACAUUAAACUUAUCAGUUGUCACAAACAAUUUAUCCAUAUGAAAAGUCAAUUGAGAGAACACUCGCUGGUGGAAUCUUACUACAAUUUAUGGCAUCCCUCAUGUGAGAAGUAGGAGUGCGUUAUGGACAAAUUUGAAAAAUAUUUCUUCUUCUAUUACUGGUCCCUAGUGCUUAGGCGAUGAUUUUAACUCCAUCAUCUCCCUCAAUAAUACAGAGAAUUCUUCUAAUCUCUCUAAUGAUACUAAUAGAUUCAUUUCUUGUAUGAAUAACUGCGGAUUUCAUGACCUAGGCUUUAAAGGGUCCCCUUUUACUUGGCAAAGAAAUAAUACUAAAAGACGUCUUAAUCGGUUUAUUAGUAAUUAUGCAUUUGUCAAUACUUUUUCGGAUGUAGGAGUUAAUCAUUUACCUAAACUUAAAUAUAAUCAUUUGCCCAUUCUUCUUGAUUAUCAUAUUCAUGCCAGAGAGGAUAGGGAAAGGCCUUUCUGAUUUUUAGCACCUUAGAUCCUACAUAAAGAAUAUGAUAAUAUGGUAAAAAGGUGUUGGAGCAAUGAUGUCAGUCUGGCUAGCAACAUUAAAAGCUUUACUGACACUGUCAAACUUUAGAAUAAGGAUGUUUUUAGUUAUAUUUUCAGGAAAAAACAGUGCCUUAUAUCUAGACCUGAAGGAAUCAGCAACAAAAUGUCCUUUGCCAAUAACCCUUUUCUAAGUUUCAAAAAGACCUCUGAAAAAAAUAUGAAAAAAUAGCGAUUCAAAAAGAGAGCUAUUGGCAACAAAUGUCAAGGUGCAACAUCAUCAGAUUCGGUGACAAAAAUACCAAGUAUUCCAUCAAAGAGCUAAUGGCAAAAGGUGCAAAAAUAAGGUUGCUGCUCUCAAGAAUGAUGUUGGGAAUUGGAUAGAUGAUGUGGAACAACUUAAAAAAUGGGGUGUUAAUUUUUUUAAAAGUCUUUAUUCUUUGGAAGGUAGUCCGACUCCUUUUUCUCUCACUAGGAACUUAACUAGACUUCUUGACCAACAAUAUGCAAAUAUGGGUAGAGAUAUUUCUCCCAAAAAAAAAAAAAGAUGCAGUUUUUUAUAUGGAAAGUUGGAGGCGCUAGGGAGUGAUAGUCUCCCAGCAAAAUUUCUCCAACAUUCUUGGAUGUCAUUGCUUAUUCCCUUAUUGAUUCGGUGAAAUCUAUUUUUAGAGAUCCUAGUAAUAUUGUUAUGGUAAACUAGACUCUAAUAGUUAUAAUUCCUAAAGUUCACUCCCUAGAAAAAUUUUAGAAAUUCUAGACCUAUUAGUUUAUGUAAUAUUUGUUAUGAAAUUGUCACUAAGAUUAUUACUACUAGAUUAAAAAUUUAUAUGCCUAAGCUUAUUUUUAACACACAAGCAAGCUCUGUUCUUGGUAGAAUUUGUACAGAAAAUAUUUUAAUAGCUCAAGAAGUGGUCUAUACAAUGCGCAAUAAGUCCAUAGCAAGGGCUUAUAACUAUCAAAAUAAAUCUUGAAAAGGCUUAUGACAUAUUAAAUUGGGUCUUUAUUAUGGAUAUGCUAAGAGACAUCGGAGCCCCUGAGAAUAUUAUUGAAGUGAUAGGAUAUCUCUCUACUCCUAUUAUGAAUCUUUAAGAUGCAUUUUCCAUGAUGAUUUUGAGAUUCCUCCUCUAGUAAAUCCUCCAUUAAUCAUGUGUAUGUGUCGUUUAGGAGUUUGAGGUGGACAUUCUUGCCAUUCUCCUUCUUCAUCUCUUUUUCUUUUUGUUUGGUCGUCCGACCUCUUUGCUAAGUAUCUGUCUAACCGACCUUCUCUAGCUAGCUUUUCUAUGACACUCUUUAAACCAUAACAAUCGUUGAUAGAAUGUCAAUAAAGCUUGUGAUAUUCGCAGUAUUCUGUCCGACUUCUUGCUUUUUUGUGUUUGAUUGGGCGAGGAGGUGGAAGCUUCUCAAUGUAGCAUAUCUCCUUGUAAACAUCUACAAGAGAGACUCGAAGUGGAGUAUAAUUAUGAUAUAUUCGAGAUUUUUUCGAGUUGUAUUCUUCUUUUUUCUUGGCUUCUUUCUCCUUUUUCUGAGAUAGAUAGGGCAGCUGGGCCUCGAAAGAGGCUCUCUUAGUCGGAAAUUUUCUUCCAUAUUGAUGAAUUUUUUCGUCUAUUCUUGUACUUCGUACAAGGAAGCCGGGUGUCGCUUGGAUAUGGAUUGAGAGAAUGGCCCUUUUUUAAGGCCGUUAACUAACCCCAUUAUCACUGCUUCAGUAGGUAAGUUUUGUAUUUCCAAGUAUGCUGUGUUGAAUCUUUCCAUGUAAUCCCGGAGUGGCUCUCUGACUUCUUGUUUAACCCCUAGCAAGCUUGGAGCUGCUUCACUUUAUCCUUCUGAACUGAGAAUCUAGUAAAAAAAUUCCUUGUCAGGUCAUCAAAACAAGUUACCGACUUGGGAGGUAAAUUAUCGAACCACUUCAUCACGGCUUUGGUCAAAGUUGUCAGGAAUUUUUUGCAACGAGCUGAGUCGGAGGCAUCAGCUAGGUACAUCCAACUUUUGAAGUUGUUGAGAUGGUGUCUCGAGUCGGUCGUUUCGUCAUAAAGAUUCAUGUCGAGUGUUUUAAAAUUUCUUAGUACUCUGGCCCGCAUGAUCUCCUCAACAAACGGAUCUUCACCUCCCAGAGGGCUUUCCUCUCGAUCUGCUCGAUUGUUCCGUCUUUGGAGGUCAGCCUCCAAUCUUAAGAGCUUUCCUUCCAACUCUUUUCGUCGUCGUACCUCCUUUCGCAGUUCUCGUUCUUCUUUCCAUUGUCGUUCUGCUUCCAGCUCGAGUUGCUCUAAUCGUCCACGAUGGCCAUGGACUAAGCCUAAUAUCUCUGAUGGAUGAGGAGGUUCUUCAUCUUCAGGCAGAUGGACCUCUGAUUGGAUCCAUCAUGGCUGGGGAUUCCCCGAUGUUCCUUCUUCGUGGGGAACGUGCGUUCUUUCCUGAGGUGGAGGUAUUGCGAGCGUGAGGUUAUCAUGGUGGGGCUCCGGUUCUGACUCAGAUGCCGUAUGACCAUCAUUGUAUUGAUUGUCCGCCAUUAUCAAAGGUUGAGCUCCAGGUCCCUGGCAACGACGCCAAUGUUCCAAGGGUUACCUGAAAUGGUGAUUUGGGCCCGAACGUGAGGUCCAGACUUCUUGUGAGGUAGCGUCCAAUUUGUUUUUGUACCGAGGUGCUGCUGUCCUAGUUCCUCAUGAGGAGGUGGGGGGUGGUACCUGCAAGAGAUUCUGAUGCUUAAGUUAGUAAGGGUUUUAGGUAGAUUUUUAGUAGAUUAGAACUUGAAUAUACCUGAGGGGUGUCAGUGUAUUUAUAGUAGAGUCGAUAACCACCUUUUGGAGUAGUUCUAUCUUUGUUGGUGGAUAAUCGUUCCCUUUAUCUUGGAAGUUUGUUAAAAUCUAUCUUUUAGCGGAUAUAGAAAUAGUUGGAGAGAUUUGCGGAGGCAGUUACUUAUUUGGAUAAGUAAAACUGAACCUUUUGUCGUGUCCGACCUCUUGAGAGGUUGGGUAAGUUGGGAGAGGCCAUAUUUUUGGAUGAGCCUUUUUUUUAUUGGGUCUGAUCUGGAAUAGGGUAUGAACAACACCUUACAUAUUUAACUAGACGCUGAAUAAAUAUGUUUAUGAAAAUCUACUAAUUUAGUCGAUUUUCUCAAUUAUAUAAACCAUAACCGUAAUAUAAUCUAAUGACACUAAAUUGAUAAAUUUUUAUAAAUAUAUUUGUUCAGCGUCUAAUUAAAUAUACUAGCUAAGUGUCAUGUAUGAUGUGAGUUAACGUUUCAUAUCACCAAUCGUUUACGAAAACUACUAAUUAAGUAAUUGAAGAACGAAAAUGAUUAAUUUAUAAUUUUUUUAAGGACCAAUUUGAUUGAAAAGAUAUUUCAAAGACGGAUUUGAAGAAUAAGUCAUCUUUUAAAAACUAAUUUGACUAUUAACUUUUAACAUAUUUCACUAAGAAGUGGUUCAAUGAAUCAAUGAAGCUCGAUCUUUUAGUAAAAAAUAAUAAAAAGUGGUUCAAUGAAUCAAUGAAGCUCGAUCUUCGUAUCAAAAAUAAAUAAGCAUAUAUUUUAAUUUAGAUUUUAUAAUUAUUUUUAUAAAAAAAUAUUUUAUUUUAACUAUUGAAUAAUAGAUUAUAAAAUUUAAUUUUUAUAUAUUAUAAAAAUAUUAUUUUUAUUUAAAGUGUGAUUAUUUAAAUAAAGAUUAUCACAAACAUUUUUUUUUAGAGUAGUUGCCAAAUAAAUAAUAGUAAAAAUUAAGGUCCAAUGAAUUUUAACUUUACAUGAAAGGAAAAGUAUAUGGAACCAAGAGGUUACCAACCAAAAACUAAACAAAACCACAUUAAUUUAUAUUAAUAAUUAAUUUUAAAUUUUUAAAAUUCAAAAUUUUAAAAAUUUAAAAUUAAUUAAGUAAAUCUAAUUAAAACCUAUAAAAACAACAUUUCUCUUCUUUCUCACAUUAACCUACCCACCUCCAACAAUCUCACACACAGAUCUCUCUUUUUCCGUCAGACCCUCUCCGCCUCCUCACCGCGACCCACUCCUCUUCUAUCACCGCGACCCACACCCUCCUCUCCUCCCUUUCCUCCGCCCUCUACAACUUCGUCACCCUCCGCUACCUCUCCCUCGCCCCUGACUUCCACACCUUCCCUUUUGCGUUCAAGGCAUGUUCCCUCCUCCCUUCUUCUUCUUCCAUCUCCAUCGCCCUCUCGCUACACUCCCAGGCCUUCAAAUUCGGCUUUCUUGCCGAUCCUUUCUCCCUCAACGCCUUCAUAUGCGUUUACUCCCUCCAUCGCCGCAUCCACGAUGCCCACAAGCUGUUCAACGAGAGUUCUCAUAGGGAUGUUGUCUCUUAUAAUGCCAUGGUUCAUGGGUUCGUUAAAAUUGGUGAGACUACGCGCCCGCAGAAACUGUUCGACGAAAUGCCAGAACGAGAUUCUGUGUCUUGGGGCACUAUGAUUGCCGAUUAUAGCAACGCGAAGCUGUGUUAUGAAGCCAUUGAUUUGUUUAAUGAAAUGAUUGGAUUGAGGAUUAGGCUAGAUAAUAUAGCUCUGGCAAAUGUUCUCUCAGCUUGUGCUCAAACGGGAGAGUUGGAACAGGGUAGGAUAGUGCAUGAUUACAUUACAAGGAAUGGGAUUCGGAUUGAUUCGUAUUUGGCUACUGGGUUGGUGGACCUGUAUGCAAAGUGCGACUGUCUUGAGAACGCAAGGGAUGCACAAUUAAAAGAGACUACAAACUACACAAUUACAGAAAUAUAAAAAAAAAACAUUCAUUUAAUAUGAAAAAAAAAAUCCUAAUACUUAACAAAAGAAAUAUUCAGUUAUAUUUUAGCAAAAAUAAUUAAAUAUCUAUAAAAUUUAAAAAAAAUAUGAAAUUCUUAAAGAAAUAGAGACAUUCACAUUUGCAAUACAAAAAAAUUCGAAAAAUAUAUAAAAGAACAUCCAUUUAGUAUGAAAAAAAAAACAUUCUGAUACUUAGUAGAAGAAACAUCCAUAUAUAUUAACUCGUAGAGAUUUUGGAUUCACCCAAAGGUAUUUUGGCUGAUUUUUUACUAAUACUCUUUUGUUCUCUAGCAUUGCUCUACAUGAAAUUAAGGAUUUUCACCAUAAAUAAUUCCUCAUUACAACGCCAAUAACCAAGAAGAAUAUCCUUUCAAUUAACAAUUUUCACCAUGCAUAUGCAUAAAGCAUCAUCACAUACCACUUCCUACAGCAUGCACGAAAUAGAAAACAACUAAAAGAGAUCAAACAUCAACUACCACAAAAGGAAAUAAAUAAAAAGAAGGAAAAAGAAAGAACGAUGAAUCAAUGAAUUGAAUCAUGCAUCUCAUCAAGCCGACGAGCGUAUUGUGCACGGUGGCAUCCGUCGAGGACGGCGCUGAGAUUGUAGGGGCUGACAUCAUCAGCGAGCCACUGGUCAAUGUAGAAGAAUGUCUGAGAGCAUGAUUUAUGGGGGCCAGUGGUAGUAACCUCAACAUAGUCGCAAUACCAACCAUGGUGGGAGCCAGAGCCGUCAGAGGUGAGGUUGAGGCGGCAGACCGGGGUGUCUAUGCAUGGGCCUCGGCCGGUGAAGGCAUCAAGAUUGCCGCGCUCCAGGUAGUUAUAGCCUUGGCCCAUGAUCCCCCAGGCCCGGAGGUUCGGGACCCGAACCUCGCGGGCCUUUACGUCACUGAGAGUGACAGUUAUGUUUGCGUCUGGUCCUCGCUUUAUGAUGGAUCCGGUUUUCACUUACAUCGUGUACCCACACUCCUGCUUAUACGUACGUACAUACAUACAUGUUGAUUAGAUGGAUCGGAACAUCAAUAAGAUUGUUCAUGAAGAGAGUAAAAUUAAAUUAAAGUAUAUGAAUAGAUAAAUUUAGAAGAGAGGCGUGUAUGUGUGAAAUUGAAUACUUAUAUUGGAAUCGCCACGGGCAUCUGCAGAAAGGAAGAGAGAUAGAAGAAGAAAAGAGAGGUAUUGUUUCCUCAUGGUCUUGUGUUAAUUAGCUGUAUUCAGCGACUGAUCACUCUGCUGUUAUGUUAUUUUCUUUUUGAUAGAUUCAGAUUGGAGAAGAUGGACCAUUUAUAGCAAUUAUAUACAGGGGAGACUCGUUUACCAUUCUACACAAUAAGCACUAUAUAUGUCUAUAUCAAUUUAUCAAUCAUAUAUUUUCCUUUUUUCUUUUUAAUAUUAUUGUUAUAUAUCUUUUAGAAGCUACCAUUNNNNNNNNNNNNNNNNNNNNNNNNNNNNNNNNNNNNNNNNNNNNNNNNNNNNNNNNNNNNNNNNNNNNNNNNNNNNNACCUAAACAAUUCUUUAAUAAUAGUUGUUAUUUAUGGCAUAUUUUUUGGUAAGGGAUAUUAGCAAUUUCUACAGAAUUUAAUUUUGAUUUAGUGUGAGUAUAAGAUAAUUUUAUUUUUAUUUUUUACAUGUACAUUCAAUUACGUAACGUUAGUAAAUAUAACAACCUUUUACAUUAUCCGCGUAAAUGAUUUAAAAAUACUAAUGUAAUUAGAUGACAGUAUAAAGUGUAAAACUUAGUAUAAAACUUUUUACACUGUAAGUGCAUCAAAAUUAAACUCUAAAAUUCGUUAGUCCUAUAUUUGAAGAUGAUCUUUCACAUAACUCAACUUGAAUGUCAUAUAACUAUCAAGCUAUAAGUCCAAAUCUAAUCAACAUUUCACUACAAAAACGUACAUAAUAGCUUAACAAGCUCAACAUUAAAGAGGUAACUCGCUUUUAAAAACCAUGUAAAGUGACACAUUUUGAUCUUCAUUUAACACUCAAUUUCCUAUGCAUAAAGUGCACAAGCAACUAAGCAAAAUCAUCUACAAGUUUCGCCGCACAUUUUAAGUGUGAUUUACACACAAGUAAGUAGUGACUUCUAUUUGAUUAUCAUUCUCUCUAAGUUAGUUUUUGUUGAAAAAUCUCAAUUCUUCUAUUACUGUCAACUCAAGUGGUCCUAAUUGUAACUCUUGUUAUCUUAAUGAAAUCUAUGAUUUUUUUAAAAUAGAAGUUAGGGGAAACGUAAAGAUAAGCAUUUGCUGCUAUAUAUUUCAUUAUAGAGUGACAUAGAGUUAGCUAUAUAUGUACAAAGACAGUAACCAAACCACACUAACGUGGCUGUAAUUUACAUGACAUGUACACUUGGCAACAACAGCAAGGUUUAUUCGCAAUUUGAAUACAUGCGCAACAAACCAACAAAACAAGAUAAAAGGACGGAGUGUUUAUGCAUCGGAUCCAAUGGGAAAUCAACAAUGGAGUAUGUUCCCCAGUUAUACUUGAAUAUGCUGCUACCAUUUGAAAAAAAAAAAAUAUAAGAAUGAAAGAAAAAAACCAUGGUAUGAUACUAAGGAAAAUAAAUAAAAAUCACUUACCUUAGUCAGUUGUUGCUGGAGCUACCAAGAUCAAAGUCCAUUGUGUAAUCAUACUCAAUAGUUGGAAUUACAGAGGCCAUAAACUUCAAGAAUAAGAACAGGUACCUACACAAAUACAUUACUUAUAUUUAGUUAUGCCACUCCAAGGAAUAAAAUGUGAUUAUACUAAGUCAGGCAUUGCUAAGAGGGACCAAAUCCAGAAGCGCCGUACCAAGUUCCAGUUGAAAGCUUACAUAACUCACGAAUUUGAAUAAAAACAAGUCAUUAUUUAUAGGAAUUCAAAUCGUACGGAGUGGUUGAAGUAAAAUAAACAAGCAUAAACAUACAUGUUAGAAUUCAAUAUGGCAUCUCAAGCAUAUACAGUUGCCCCUCUCUCGAGGAACAUAAUAUAAUUAACCACGGAAACUAAGAAAGGGAUGAAUGACUAUUGAACAAAAAACAGAUGCAUGCUUGACUAUAUGCUACAAACAAUCUUUAGGCAGAUUGCAUAAUCAAAUAUUCCAUCACCUGAAAGCCAGUAAUUACAUAAACAAUAAAUAAAAAAUUGUGAAGCUAAUGAGAAAACAAUAUUUGUAUGGAUGUUGUAAACAAUUACAGACAAUGUUGAUUUAGAUUUAUUAAAAGAAAAAUCCAAUUUAUAUCACCAUGUGGAAGAUUUUAUGAAAGUAAUAAUAAUUACGUUUCUAUGAAAGUAAUAAUAUCUUGGACAGAAAGGGUUUACUUGUCAACUUCUGGCUCAACCCCACGUGACAUCAAAACAUCAAUGAUUUUCUUCAUCACUGCUCCAUGUCGACAUGGAUGAAUAGAUGCAUGCUUACCAGGCAAGUGAGGGUGGUCCUCAAUUGUUACCUGUAAAUAUUUCAUGUUAGAACAAUAACGUAUUAACAUAAGUUUAGCAAACUAUAAAUUGAUAAAUAGCGGGGUUAAAAACAUAGGAAGUAUUAAGCUUAAUAAUUUUACCCUUUAAGCAUGUAACUAUGAUCUAUACCUCAAAAUGAUUCAUCCAACAAUAAACAUCGUAUUGAAUUCUGAUAAAAUAUCUUUCACAUAAACAAUUCAUGUCAUAUCUCACCGUUUUGCGAGCAUGGUCCUGACUAACAUCUUCAAGGACAAGUUCUUGUUGCAAAAGCAUCCUUGACUGCAAGAUGGAAAGAUGAGAUCAUAAACCAGUAAACUAAGUUUCCAAGGUAUAAAAAUGAAAAAAGAAUAAGGAACUGUUAUCAACCCACCCACUAAGCCCCAGUUCGGGAUAUUCACAUCAUUUAUAUCCACUACUUAAAAUAAGCAAACAUUAGUUGUCCUAGUAGGUUCAUCGUAGGCUUAUAGACCGACAAAAGUGAAUGAAUAUAUAUAUUUAAAAAAAGAUCUUGUGGAAAACAAACCUCAUCAUACCCGGUAAGCCAUACUCGAGGUGUUUGAUAAUAUUUAUCAUACCUGCAAACAAGUCAAAUAGAACUAUUCAAAUUAUUGUCUAAAGACCGUUUGUUUCAAAUACAAAAUAAGUAGUCCUUUCUAUUUGACAGAAAGAACAAGAUACAACAAAAAAAAUAGGAGAAGUACAAAUAUGUCAGGAAUAAAUAUCCUCCAACAGUUUGUUCAGGAAAAUCUUAGCACUUGUGUGAUAUGUCAGAAAAAGAUACACAGUCUUCUCUGAUAUCACAAGUAGCAGUUUGUUCAGGAACAAAAUGGCAAUCAAGAAAAGUUACACUGCAAGUUUGAAACUCAUCUUACGUGAUACUGAUGUCGUAAGUUCGGGUUCGUAGAAUAUUAUCAUCAUCAGGUUCAUGAGCCACUAGAUAUGUAGACUGAAGAGUAAACAAUGACAAAAUCACAUUUCUUAAAUCAGUACUAAACAAGUAAACAAUGAAAGUAUAGUUAAUAAAAAAUAAGUAAACUAGUGGAAAAUUAUUUAAAAUAAUAUAUUACUAUUAUAAAUUAUGCAAAUAAAAAAUAAAAAGUAUUAAAAUGAAAAAUUGAGUUAAAGCUCACAUUCAGGUUGUAAUUGCCUACAGCCUACCUAUCAUUUUAAUUCCAACAAAUAUUGCAAGGACAGACCAGCUUGAAAAGACUCUUACAACAAGCAUAGUAUGAGAAUACAGCAGUCGAUACAUAUUUCUGUUCUCUUUCAUGUGAUUCAAUAAAACUUCACUUUUCAGUCCAAAUACAGAUGUAUAACAGUUAGGAAACAACAAUCUAGCCUAGAAAGUGAUACCCAACUUACAGGAUCUGUAACAAUGUUAUCAGUUUCUUCAAACUCAGCCAUAUCCGGAAUAUCGUCUUCCUCAUCACCUCCCAUGUAGGAUGAAAUUUGCUUAACAGGUUCCUUUUUGCUGAUUUCUAGGCUUUCCAUGGAAGGUAAAUCCUCUUCCUCGUCGGAUUUGGUUUCUUGAAAAAAAUAAAUAAAAAGUAAUAAAGGUGUAAGGUAUGAGCAUCAGAGAAUGGGAUUAGAACCAAAUCACAAUAUACUGAUAUAGAAUAGAAGCUCUUGUUUUGUUACUCCCACAAGUUUGGGAGUUAUGCUAGUCCUGUAUAAAAAUGUAUUAUAAACAGAUGCAUAACUCAUGCUCACAACCAUAGGACGGAUUUUAUUUCAAUUUCAGUGGUAAUUAUUUCAAUUCUGGUUAGUAGCUUGAAAAUUUAUUUGAAAUUUUGGAGAUUUCAAUAUUUUGCAGAAAAAUCCUUAGGUCUUUGUAGGUUGGAGGUGAGCUAGCUACACUGGACUCAAGGGAAAAAAAGUUACCUGUCUACCAGGACAUUUGCUGGUAUGCCACUCACAAGUGGGAAGAACUUAAUUCAAGUAUGGAAAGCCCGUCAAGGUUUUUUUUUUUUUAAUUGUGGUUGUGGUGGGUGGGAGGAAGGGGAGCAGUUCCAAGGUAGAAAACAGAUUAUUAAAGGAUUUGAUUGGCCAACCCAAUAUGCUUAUGUGAGUAUGUCAAUGGAGCAACUUGAUCAUUCAUUCUCUUUUUCGUCAAAAGGAGGAGCAAAAUUGGGGAAUUUAACGAAACACAGAAACGACAUCUGGUCACAACAAUGAGCACAGAUCGAAACAUAGAUGACGAGGGUGGAAAAAAUUGGUAAGAGUUUGUUUUAGGAAAAGAAAGGUGGAAUUUUAUGAUUAGAUGGGGGUUGUGGCACACCCAGAAGCUCGACAUGAGAGUCUGACGUUGACAGCGAUCUGCAAUGUUGUUGCCUCACCGCUUGCAUUUAAUGAACAUAAUACUAACUAACUUUGGAUAAAGCCUAUAUUUGUAAAAAGCCAAUACUACAAAACCAUUGUUGCACUAAGAUUGUGGGGGUUAUUUUAAGUAGUGGACUAACCUAACCCCAAGCUUGUGUAAGGCAAUUUAACACAACCCUAGAAUAAUGCCUCCAGCAACAUACAUACCUUUAGGUUUUCCAUGAGUUGCUAGCCAUCCAUCAUUUUCUUCAUCAUCAAGUAGAACUUCUCCUCCAGCCGCUUCAUAUUCUUCUUCUACAGAUACAGCUCUCCGCAAACACGGCACUGUCAAGUGUUAAGCAACUUCAUAAACCAGCAUUAAUGAGGACAGCCAUAGAUAACAAAUUCAGGAGAAACCUCAGGGAAAUUCAGGUAUUAUAACUUUCUAGCUUUAAGGACAGAAAGAGCAACUUAAUACAAUUCAAACUAGACUGAAGAUAACAAGUACAAAGAAGAUGUAUGACAUACAAAUACAUCCCAAGCUCGACUCUUACCAUUCCUAGUAAUUAAUAAUUGUUUAUCCGCUGGCAAAUAUGGCUUCCUUUUGCUUGGCUCACCUGAUUCCCUAUUAUGCAAUGGGAAAACAGAACAUUAACAAUUAAUAAGGGCACAAAAAGAAUGACCUCUUAAUUUUGAGCUUUAGCAAUUGCCAUAACACAAAUGAAUGAAAAUUUCCAAUGCUUGCUAUUAGUUAAUAUACGUACAUGAUUCAAAUCAUCCCAGAAAGUCCCAUAUGACCCCAAACCCUUUGUUACAGGGACCGAAGCUAUAUAACUUGAUUGAAACCCUUCUGAGAAGUAAAAUUUUGAGGCUUGAAAGCAGAUUUAAAAAAUAUAUAUAUUUUGGAAAUAACGAAUAGCCAUUAGAGGAACAGAAACAUCGUGUAACAGGGAGCCUACUUAAGAAAGAUGAAAUCUUUGAGAUGGAAAAAAAAAGGGGGGGAAAUUUACCAGGACCAAGUGGGGCAUUUGGCAACGAGAUUGUCGCCGGCAGUGACGAACUCAGAGACACUGAGAACUCCUUUCUCUUUGAAGGCUGAGACGGUUCGAGCGCUCGUGAUCCUCUCUACUGUGCCCUUGAAAGCUUCGUGAAUCUUCUGAGACAGAACCAUCCUCUUCUCUUCUGAAGAAGUUGAAUGCAGAAAUGCAGACUCAGAUUGCAAACUACAGAGGAGGAAGAUGAAUUGGAUUAUACAAAUGAGAGAAAAAGUUUUGGACUUCCUCUCUCGUUUUUUUUCUUUUUUUUUCCUUUUUCGUUUUUUGCUUGUAAACACGGUCACCUUGUCUAUAAAAACAAUAACUAUUGGGGUUUGUGGAUUUGCAUUACUUGGUUUUUCACAUUUUUAAACUAAAAUAAAUACUUAAUUAUUCCUUUCUCUAAAUCAAUGUUUUCAUAUGUUUUUUCUAAAUUAUUACUUUAUUAGUAAAUAAAGCGAACGUAAGUUUUUUCCAACUGAGAGUGAGCUUUUUUUUGAAAGAUUACGAGUAAAUUGCAGUGAUAAUUUUAUUUUACCCAAAUCACACAUUUUCACAUGUUUUAUUCAUAUUAUUAUGUGUAAAUCAUCACUUUAACAUUAAGGCUUAAUGCAGAGGGAAACAAGUCCAGAUUUAAACUCCAAUUUUUAUCUUUUGUAUAAAUACAUAUUAAUAUGAAAUUAAUAAUUUAAUUAGNNNNNNNNNCUUUUUUAUAUUUUAUCACUAAAAAUUCACAAAAUAAUUUCUAAAUUCUAAUCUAAUAAUUAGCAACAAUACUCAUGGUUUUUUUUAUUUUAAUAAAUAAAUUAAUCAGCUUAGGUUCUAUUUCAAUUUGGUUCAUCCUUUUGUUCGAUAUUUUGUCUAUAUCUAAUUAAAUAUGAGGAAUUUGAAGUCAACAUUUCUUGGAAGUUCUAUUACACCAUCAAACUGGUGGUGGUUAAAUGAAGAAAAGUAAUAGAUGGUUAAAGAUCGUUUUGAAGAUGAAGGUAGCAUAUUGAGGCUCUAUGAAGAAACAAAUUAAUUUUAGAUUUAUUCAUGUCUUGUUCUUCUGUGCAAAUGUUGAGACUUGAAUUUUGCUAUGCUAUCUGAGGCUAGAUAUAUAGAUUAAAGUCUUUAGUUGUUGCAAACUUGAUACAAUAUAUGCUAAUAUGUUAAUCAACAUUCAUGUGAGGUUUAAGAUAAAAUUAGUAAAACUUUUGUUGCUUAUGAGUAAAUACAACAUAACAAGUUGAACUUAUUUUAUAAAUAUUUUGGACAGCUCCAUCAAAUGGAAUUUUCGUAGAGAGCUCCAUCAAAUAUUUUGCCUAGUUUGUAUGAUUAUUGAUUAAUUGUUCUGUUGUGUUUUGUGAUUUUAUAGUGAUAUGAUGCUGUUUUAUCCUUUUGUGAUUCAAUUGUGCUGUCUAUCAUUAUGUUGUAAGGUGUUUAUUUAUAAUUUAUUUAUUAUUUUAUUAUAAAACGAUUUUUCAGGUUGAACCGAUUAGACCAGUAAACCAGUGAACUAGUAGUUAGAUCGGUUCGAUAAUCGGUCCGAUUUUCAGAACCUUAAUUUUUUGUUGAGUGAAUUUGUCUGAGCUAAUUUUGCUGUGGGAUUCUGAGUUAGAGUUGAUGGUUGAUUUGAAUUAUUGUUAAUUUUGUAUUCUGAGUUGGCUUGUUGCUGAAGUGAUUCUGAAUUUAGUUUGGAUGUUGAGUUUGGAUUUUUUGUUUAGUUUUUCUGAUUUUGGAUUUUUCAAUUUUGGAUAUGUUUUUGGAUUAUGAAUUUUCGUUGUUGAAUACAUGAUGAGAAGUCUUUGUUGAAAUGUUUUAUGAUUUUGAAUUCUAUUCUCAAUAGUUUGAGUUUGUGUAAUUUUGUGUAUUCUAUUGUUGUUGAUUUUAUAUUUUUGUUACUAAUGUAAUGAGUAUUGGGAUUUUUUUAUUUUAAUAAAUAAAUUAAUUAUAAUAAUUAUUGAAAUAAAUAAUUUAAAAAAUAUUUACCAACAUAAAUACUUCUCUCUUAUCUCGUUUACAGUGUAAACGAGAUAAUUUUACAUAUAUCUCGUUUACAAAUAAGACAGGUGGACACAACACGUGUAUAUCUCGUUUACAAAUAAGACAGUGUAAACGAGAUAUAAAUAUAAUACAUUUUUAUGUACUAAUUGCAUGCUAAAAGUUUGGAUUAUUGAUAUUAAUAAUAUUUUUUAUUAUUUCAAAUUUUUUUUAAAAAAUGCAUGUAAUAUUUAUCUCGUUUAUAGAUAUACACGUAUCACAUCCACCUGUUUUAUCUCGUUUACAUACGUACAAAAUUAUCUCGUUUACAUAUUUAUUUAUCACAUAUUCUCGCACACACAUACAAAGCCUUAACUCAAAGAACAACCACAGCAAGUGACUUGGAAAGAAAAUGUAAACACCGAAACAAUCACAAGCAUAGAGAACAUGUGAAUAUUAUUAUAGCAAACAUAAUAAUAAAAUAGCUCUUCUAAUGCGUCUCCGAAAAUAUCCCAAAUCAAGAAAACUACAUAAUCUGAUCCACUUGAUUCAGAAAGCUACAUAUAUUAGAAAACUUAAGAAUCAACUAAAAUAAAAAGAAAAGGAAGGCCUGGUUGAUUCGAUUCAAUUGCCUGAGAUGAAGAAUCAAACAGGGCCGAGAAGCUGAGAGUUUAAAUGUUAAACAUAGGCAGUGCAAAUUUUAACAAAGCUCAUCACAAUGAUUAACAACAACAAAAAGAACUGAAAAAACAGUGAAUCAGUAACAUGGUCAGUGCAAAUUUAACAUUUAAAAGUUAUCAAUUUAAAAUUUAUCAUCAAAUACAAUCAGUGAGCAAAGCCAAUCAAUCAAGCACUGACUGAGCAUUCUGUUCUAGUUAUGUGACUGGGAAGCAACAAAUUCAAGUUACAGCAACAAAUUUAACAAAUCCUAGUAAAGCCCCGAUUUACAGCAAAGGGGCAAAUUUAUUGAUUACCAAUUCAGCAACAUGCAGAAAUACAGGAAAAGGGAAAUCUGGAAAAGAGAGAACACUAAACCAAAACAUUAACCAAUAAUCACAAAACACUAAACCUUCACCCAGCAAUUACAAACAAAGCCAGCAAUUACAAACAUUAGCACAUUAUAAAACAUUCCAAAACACUGAACCUUCACCCAGCAAAACCAGCAACUACAAACAAAGCCAUCAGUAAAUUUGAACAAAAAAAAUUAAGAGCCAUCAGCAACUAACAGAGCCAUCCAGCCAUCAGUAAAUUUGAAAAAAAAAAUUACAGCCAUCAGCAACCAGCAAAUACAAGACAGAUCCAUCAGCAGCAGACAAUUACAAUUUACAAAACAUUACAAGAAAAAUGGAACAAAAAUUGAACAACAAUUUCAGAACUUCAAACGAAGGAGAAGACCGAACAUUCAGAAAUUAAAAGGAAGAUGCGGAGGCGAAGAAUUGAAAGCAGGGCCACUAACCUGGGUUCCGUGCCGAGAAGGCAGCGAAGAUGAAAACGAUGUGCCGAGCUACCUGGGGAAGAGGAAGAUGAAAACGACGUGCCAGCGAAGAUGAAAACGACACGGGGAAGAGGAAGCAGCGGCGGCGCUGAGGACCUGGGGACGGCGGCGGCGAUGAAGGGCUAGGGUUUUCCUUGGCUUCAGAGGUCUCCAGGGAGAGCACAAAUGAUUGGGGGAAGAAGAGGGGGGGGGGGGUUUGGUUCACGAGUGGAUCUGCUUUUGUUUUUUUUUUUUUUUUUCAAAUAAACAAAACGGCGUCGUUUUAUUACUCACACACAUUCCUCCACGUGGAUUUUUAAAUAUUUUUUUAUUUUUCUAAAACAGUAAUGGCUCUCCUCUCUUUCUCUUAUUUUCCUUCUCAUUUUCCGUCACUUUCCUUCUCCAGUUCUCCCCAAACACUCGGCGCUGCUCUCCUUCCUUUAAAAUGAGUGCGCAGCAAACUGCUAAUACGGCCAUUGUGUGGUUCAAGCACGACCUCUGAAUCCACGAUCACCCAGCCCUCACCGUUGCUUCUAGCUUCCAACUCUGUUGCUUAGAGUUUCAUUUUUCUGUGUAAAUUUUAAGUUUAUCAUACUCUGCUUUGUUAAUCUGGUUUUGUAGUAUCUGCAUAAGCAGUUUCUAUCUUGUUGCUGUUGAUGCUUAUUGAGCUUGUUGUAGUAUCUGAAACACUAUUUCAGAUCUUAACUCCCUUCGGAGAAUGAAAUCUCACCAUGUUGAAUUGCUGAUUGCAGGUUUAAAUGCUGAAAUGCUGGAACUGCUCCUGUUCGCGCUGCAAGAUUUGAGGAACUCCUUGAAGGAACGCGGCUCCAAUCUCAUGAUUAGAUUCGGGAACGCAGAGCACGUCAUACAACAGCUUGCAUCUGAGGUUGUUACUCUUCAGUUAGUAAGUUACUUCUUUAGUUGAUUAGUUACACAGUUAGUUAACUUUUAUUGUGAGUUACUUAUUAGUUGAUUAGUUACUGAUGAUGCCCCAAUACAUGUCCGUGCAUAAUGAGAACUUUUUUUCCGCCAAAGUGCAUGAUGAGAUCUUGAAUUAAGCAUUAUCAAUUGCUUUUGUUGAACAAAUUCAUCGCCCAGGGUGGAACAGGUGAAUGCCAGUUGUGUAUUUGCAGAACAAGAGGUGGAGUAUGAAUUGUACUUGCUUUUGGAUGUUGUGAAGGAGUGUAUGAAACCUGUCACGGUUCGAGAAUGUGCUCCUAGGAUUGAAUUAUGGAACACUCCAUUUUAUGAUGUAAAUGUAGGUAUCCGAUUGAUUCUUGGCUUCUUUGGCUAUCUAAAUUGUUCAAGAGUUGAAGAAUUUAUAUGUGGUAAUUGGUGAUUACUUUUAUUAACUUGUCGAUAAUUGAUUUGGUCGUUUCUAUCACUAUCCAAUAGGUUCUGCAAAAUCUUCCUGCAUCGUACGAUGACUUUAAGAAACUUCGACUACCCAUACUGAACCACUUCAGCUGUCAAAAUUACCUGCUGCAGACAUGGAACUGGACUGGGGUGAGUUCUGUGGUGGUUGACUUUUCUUGUCACUUGGCAUGAAUCUUCUUUUGGAAGAGUAUUUGAUAUUAUAUUUUCCAUUUUUGUAAUCCAUUUAACAUCUUGCACUUGUAAAGUGGCCAAAGUCAUAUGAUAGAUUUUCAUUGAAAUAGGUACUCUUCCUGUAUAUGAUGAUGUAAAGAAUUUCAUUACCAGCAACCAAGGGAGAUUGAGAGAGAGGUGGAACUCAAUCAAGUUGACAUCAGCUGAAACCUUAUUACGGAAUAAAAUAAUGAAGUCUAGUGAGAGCAGUGAAGGAAGUUAUGACUCUAGGCAACUGCAGUCAAAGAAAUCAAAUGAAUCUGUUUUCCUGUCACAAAAAGGUAAUGCUGUAGGAGGUGGAACAAACAAUGUAUUAAAUGCCUUGGCUGCAUAUUUGAGAUAUUUCGAGGGAACAGCUCAUGAUGACUGGCAAGAGUAUGUAGUAAAAACCUGCCAUUUGUGAUUAUUUGUUGGCUAAUAUCUUCUAGGGUCUUGAGUAUGGAGUCUAGAGGUCAGUUUAAAAACACGAACAGUGAAAUGUCUUUUCACCUUUAAAUCUGUGCAGGAUACAUGAAAAAGUACGUUCUUCUGAAAGUCGGAAUGGAGCAUCAUUUAUUGCACUCUUUGGUCCUGCUCUAUCUCUUGGCAUUAUAUCUAGAAGUGUACACUAUGAAGCUAUCAAAUAUGAGAGAGAACGAAAUGCAGGAUUUAUAUCUCCCUUUGGAUAUUCAGCUACCACAAUUGCAGGAGCAGUUGAUGCUGUGUGCUCAAAGGAGGUGCUAGUUUUAGCAAUUUUGCUAUAUUAGAAUACAAUUUUUUUUCUGCCUUAUUGAUUUGGUUAUUUCUUAUUAGUUGCAACAGAAAACUUGCCUUUACCUUUCUUAUCAAAUGAUCUAUUCAUUUAAUUUUUUGGAACAUAGUGGUACUGGCUUAUGGCUUUGAGAAAUCAAACAAACAAUGAUGGGAUACACUCAACACGUAUGUGGAAAUGGAAUGGUUUUCUUAUUCAGGUAUUCAACUGAUUUCUCAUACUCAACGAUUGAUUCAUUUCCAAAUGGCCAGUCAACUCUCUUUUGUCAAUUUAAUGAAUUAAGAACCCAAAAACUGGUUUUGUUAGUAUACAGUUGCUGGCAAUGAUGGUCCUGCUGUUGUUCUUGUGCAUGGAUUUGGCGCUUUCGCAGAGCAUUACCGUGACAACAUAAAUGGUUUAGCUGGAGCUGGAAAUCGUGUUUGGGCUAUUACAUUGUUAGGAUUUGACAAUUCAGAAAAGCCAAAUAUUGUGUAUACUGAACUCUUGUGGGCCGAACUAUUGAGAGAUUUUAUUGUUGAUGUUGUGGGUGAACCUGUCCACCUUGUCGGGAACUCAAUUGGUGGUAUGAUUACAUAAAUUGGGUGUACUUCCUCUAAAAAAAUCUGUCCUUUUCACACUUAUACACCAAAAAAUCUGUCCUUUUCACACUUACAUGCUUUCCUAUUCAGGAUAGAAAAACCUCCGGCGCCUCCUGGUUGGACUCUCGUGUUCUUCUACUAUAUUUGAGGUUACUUAGUUAAGAAAUGUUAUCCAACUGUAAGUGUUUCAAAGGUAUAAUUAUGUCUCACAUUUUUGGUGUGGAUAUUGCUUGGUUCUGAGGCUUUUAACUUCGCAUGCAGCGGACAGAAAGAGCAGAUGAUUGGCUCAUAAAUAAAAUGCUAAGAGCAGUAUCCUCUUCUUGGCUUUUACUUUUUAGUAAUUUGCUUCACUUUUUUGAGUUUUGCAUUAUUCUGAUGUGUAUACAUGGCUCAUUUUGCCAUCUCCUUACAUAUGUAAAAGUCUUAUCAUCCUGGCUCUCCUGUGGUCGUGGAAAGCAUCUUCUGUUUUAAUCUUUCCAUACCUCUUAAUUUUCUUAUUGAAGAAUUCAGGGAAAAGGUUCUGAUUAUACAGGUACUCUAACGCUAAUGGCAAGAAAAUUUGAAGUUGAUAUGAUAUAUGUAUGUGAAUUAAUCUCUGGUAUAGCUUCGUAUCUUGUUAUUGAUUUCUUUGUUAUCAGGGGAUGAAAGAUCCAAUUUCUGACUGCAGUUCCAGGGUGGCUACACUGAAAAUCUGUCUUUGAUGAUAAACUAUUAUUUUAAUAAAUUUUUUUAAGAAUUUAUAUUUUUAUGAUUAAAUUUUUCUUUUACUUAAAUAAAAAUCAUUGUGUUAUAAACUUAUAAUACUCCAUAAUAGAAUCAUGCAUGUAACAAUAUCAAACUUAAAAUUUAUGUAUGGAUUGGACAUGUCUUUUCACCAACACAUAACAGAUAGGGUAUUGAUUGAAGUUACACCGAAUUAAACCCAAAAACAAAAAAUUCCAAAUAUAAUCGAUAAAUGUAAUACACGAAGUACACAUAAGAAGGCAAUCUAAUACAAUAACUACAUCCAACACAAGGAAAUUAAAACAUUGUCAUGCUUAUACCAAGAAAAUUAAAUUCAGUAAGUAUACUUAGGCAAGACAUUGUUUUCAUGCUGUCUUUUUUUUUUGUCAAUAGUUUUCAUGUUUAUAGAUUUUUUUAUCAUAAUGGACAUCCACAUCCGGUUAGACUAGACCCAUGUCACGAAUCUAACACCGCAGUCAAUUACAUGACCAAUUUGGCUAGUUAAAAAGAUGAGUCUUAGCUCACACGGCAUUCCGCCCCCUCCUUAUUUCAAAGGUCUCGGGCUCAACUCCUACCAACGGCAACCGAGGAAGAAAAAAUGGUAAGUAUGUGAGGAGCGUGUGGGUGUGUGUUAUACCUAGGAUCAAAGGUUGUCCAAUUCAUAUGAGAUACUUAGAAUUGGGGUUAUCCAAUUCACUGACCAACAAAAAAAAAAGACACAAACAAAAUAUUUAUGAAGUCAACUGAAAAUGAUGAAAAAUUAGAUGGAUUACACUGCCUAGUACAUUUUUCCAAUUGAUUGACACUUUUAUUAACUUUGUUUUUAAUUACCAAAAAAAAAAGUUAAUUUUUUGGUCAUUCUUUAUUAACUUUGUUGAAAUAGCCAUAUUAAAACAAUACAUGUAACUCAAAGGAUUUUUUUUCCUCUUUUGGGUUGGCUUGUUUUAUCCAUUGCAAUUUUCUUUCAACCUUUUUUGUUUGAUCUCAAAUUCACUAUUUUGGCCCAUACCACCAAGCCCGCUAUCCACAUAACAAAUCUCAAAAAUCACAACUAAUCCCUCUCCUAAGCGAAAACGGAGAACGGAAUUCAACUUUAAAAAAACUACACGUGUCUUUAUCUCAGCACAACACGCAGGGAUAACAUCACAUACAUGUUUUCUGUGACGGCACCAUAGAACUUUCCUUCUAAAAAUAGAUCCAACAUUUUAUCCAAUUCCUAAGAUUUGCUAAAACUUAGGGUGCCUAAGAGAGUACUUGGAUUGGACUUUGAUAAGCAUGGAUAUAGCCAUAUAGGUGAUGGAGAGUUUGAGAAAAAGUUUUCUCGUCAAGACGUCGAGGUAUGUGUACGGUGUUCCUAAGACAAGGGACUCCAAUGCCACUAAUGAACGUGAGGAUUGGGGUGUUUGUUUGUUAAAGGAACUAGAGCGUCACGGUUUGAAUCUCAUUUUGAAUAUGUAACAACUCUGCCGCUGCAUAUAUCCCCUCUUUGGCAGUGUAAGUGUGUAACCCUUCGACCUGGCGUUCCAAAUUCAGUUUGAAUGGGAGCUAACUUGCCACAAAAGAUUAAUAUGGAGAAUCAACUCUUCCACGAUCAGAUAAAGGAGUUGCAAGUCUACUAUAAUUCCUGCCUUUUGUAAACCAUCUUUAUAUUUUACCAUCUGAUUGUGAUAAAAUACAGAAGAUGAUAACGAUGAAGAAGAGGAGGAGAAUGAAAAGGAGUUUUGAGUUAUGUAAAAAUUAUCAGAAAAUAGUAUCAAAAUUUUUUAAUUGUGAUAUAGAAGUUUGUUAAUUUAGAUACCAAAAUUUUUUAACCUUGAUAUAAGCUAAGAGGAUAAAACAAGAAUUAUGAAAAUGUAAAACAAGAAAGAGAAAAAAAUGAUGAUGAUGAGAAUGAGGAAAGAGAAUUUUGAAUUAUGCAUAAUGUAUCAGAAAAAUAACACCGCAAUAUUUUAACCUUAAUACAAAAAUAUCUUUUUUAAUGUUGCAUUUUUUCUUUUUUUUUUUUUGUUGCUCUUACUUAUUUUCUUAGAAGUAUUGCUUCUCAUAUUAAAUUUGAAUAAACAUGUAUCUACUAUAUUCCAAUCUUAUUUAGUUAAAUGAAUGUAAGUUCAUAUUUAUUGGAUUAAAUUCUUGCCAUAAACAAAACUAGCACCAAAAUUUGUUUAAAUUGACACCGAAAUUCAAAUACAAUGAUACAGAAUGUAAAAAGUAAAUUGCAAACUAAAAUAUCACAUUAACUCUAUAAAAUGAAAUAAGAGAGCACCGAAUUAUUUAAAAUUGACAUCAGAAGUUCAGUAACAUAACACAAAAACAUCACUUAAAAUUGAAUAAUUGAAUGCUUAUCUCAAAUAUAAAAAACUGAAAAAUAACACCGAAAUAUCUUCACUAUAAUACUGAAAUUUUUAAUUAAAUGAUGUGAUAGAACUAAGAGCUUAUUUCAUGAAGACUUGAAUUGUAGAUUUACAAAUUUUAAUAGAAAGGAUAAUAAGUGGAAACAUAUGUGUACAACACAACGAAAUUAAGUAGAACAAGUACAAAAAUUCGAAAGAGAGUGAAUAGUGGCAUUACUUAUAAGAAGAAUAAGACGUAUUUAAUAUAUAAAACAACAAAAAAAUUUCUAAAGAAUAACGCCGAAAUAUCUUUACUCUAACACCAAAAUCUUCAACUAAAUAAUGUAAUGGAACUAAGAAUUUAUUUCAUGAAGACUUGAGUUACAGAUUUACAAAUUUUGAUAAAAAAAAUAAGUGAAAAGUCUUUAGAUAACACAACGAAAUUAACUAAAACAAGUGCAAAAAUUAAAAAGAAAAUGAACAAUAUUAUUUAUGUAUAAGAAGAAAACGACAAUGGGGACAAUAACAAUAACGAUAAUGACAAUGAUGAUAAUAAUGAUGAUGGAGGAGGAGAAUGAGGAGGAGGAGGAGGAGGAGGAGGAAUGAGAAGAAGAAAUUCAAUUGAGAAAAUGAAGAGAAAGAGCUGGUGGUGGCACGAAAGAGAACGAAGAGGAAAAAAGAAGUGAAGAAUAAUAAGCAUCAGCAGCAGCCGAGGUGUAUGGAAGAGACAGAAGAAGACGACACUAACGAUAACAUAAGAGAGUGCACGUUGAUGUGAAAUAACUUGGUUUGACUUUGUUAAGUACUUUAUUUGGUUAUAGACCUUUAUUGUAUAUUUUAUAAGAUUAAAAAAAAUAUUGAAGGUUUUUUUUGCUUUCUACGGUAUCUCCUAACGACUAAAGACUAAUUUAUGGCAUAUUUGAGUUCUAUUUAAAAAUUUGCUGCUGCCCAAUAGAUUGUUACAUAUAUUAGGUGAGAUUCGAAUCUCCAACACUUGUUUAAAGCUAACAACUAAACUAACCUAACCUAAGUUGGUUAAAAAAGAUUGAAGAGUUAUAGAAUGUAUUUUAGGCUUUCAAUUGAAAAAUAAAAUUGAGAAGGUCUAUUUUUGUUUGAAUAGCAAAGCAUUACAAAAUUCAGUUCGAUCUAAUAAAGAAACGGUAAAAACUGAAUACAUGUGAAGUUCAUAAUUAAAAAUUGUUUGAUGAUAAUUUAGUCAAAUAUAGCAAAUAAUCUAACUACUUUUAACUAUCAAUUAUUUUAUAAAAACAACUUUAUGCGAGCCUCUGCUUUGCCAAAAUUACGAGUUAAAAAAUCACCACAAGACCUAGAACCGAUGGGUUGGAUGGAACCGGAAUUGAAUUUGAAUUCUUUAAAUUUUAAAUUUUUAUUUUGAAAGAUAAAGUGUGAUCUCUCAUCUUUGAAUAAUUUUUCUUUCAUAUUUUUUUGGUCCUACUUGUGAAAUAAAUAAUGAGAAAUCACACCUUAUCUUCUAAGAAAAAUGCUACUUGUAUAACACAAAUAAAUUUUUGGUCAGCCUUUAAUAUUAUUUAAUUAUUUUAAAACAAAACAAAUUCCUAUUUUUUAGAUACAUAUUUAUAAUUAAACUUAAUUUAAAGUUUAAAAACUUAAAUUUCUCUAAUUUUCUAUCCACUUCAUAGUUAGUUAUUGUUUCAUUCCUUCUUUUACAUUACUUCAUAUAAAAAAUACAGUUUCUUUUACUUUCUUUUAUGUUACAUUCUUAAAUGUGAUAACACUACUCUCUCUUUCGUCUUGGAGCUCAACCAGAAAAUCCUCAUCGGUAAAGUCAUGUAGCACCCUUUUCGUCGUUUUUUAUUAUUAUUAUUAUUAUUAUUAUUAUUAUUUGCCCCUUUGUUUAUGUGAUUGUACCUGUUUACAGUUUCGAAACGAAAUGAAUAAUGAGCACACUUUAAAUCUUUAAAAUCUUAUGGGUUGUCAUUGUUAAGGCUAUUUCUUGUGGUUCCAUUCUACUAUAUUUGUGUUCAUAAAAUAUUUCCUUUUCCAAUCCCAGCACACACUGGUAACAAACAUAAAAAAUAUGAUGUGGAAGACAAAUCUAAAUAGGUACAUAGUCAUCUUCUGCAAGUGGAGCGUCAGAUAAAUCACAAAUAAACAUAAUUGUUAUUUAAAAAUAAACAUAAUAAUCUAUUUUUAUUUAAUUGUAACAUUAGUUGAUCUUAUUUGGUUUUAAUAAUAGAGUUAUUACUAAUAAAAUAAUGUGUACUUAAUUUGUUUGAGUGAAAAAGUACAAAAGAUAAAAAAUUGAAGUAAAAAGAUGUAGAUGGUAUAUUCAUAAUUUUUUUUAAAAUUAUAACACAUCUAAUAAUAUGAUGUUAUAUACAAAAUAUUUUUAAAACACAUCCAAAAUCAUAAAAUUAUAGAAUUUAAAUAUAAACGUUAAUAAUACAAUUAAUCUUUUAAUUUUUGAUUCGAUAAAAUGCAAUUAAUAUUUAUUAUUUAAUUAUUAGUUGAAUUUUUUUCAUUACUUAUUGAACAUUAUCGUUUUCAAAUAAAGUAAUUCAUACUUAAUUAAUUUGAUUAAAAAUGCACAAAAAAUUAAAAAUNNNNNNNNNNNNNNNNNNNNNNNNNNNNNNNNNNNNNNNNNNNNNNNNCACUGUCCUUCUAACACUAUUUUUACGUAAUGAUUCAUCUAUUGAAAGUAUUGACCAUUCACCACCAUUUUAAAACAAACUACCUACUGCAUAUAUUUUUUUCAGUUAUUUUUUUAUCAUUUUACCACUCUAUUUUUAUUAUUAAAUUUGUAUUUAAUUACGUGUAAUAUGAAAUCUCAAUUUUAAUUUUUUUUUUCACAUGUGAUUUUAUUUUUAUAUAGCUUGUUAUUAUUUUUAUAGUUAGUUAUAACAAAUUAACAAGUUCUUGACCCCAAUAAAGGAGGAGGCUAAUAGGAGUAAAAAUAAAAUAAAAAAAAAUAACAACAAAAUAUACAUUGACACACAUUUUAUAUUUAUUUUUUAUGUUCACUUAUCAUAUUAUACACAAUAAAACAGCAAAUACUAACUACAUAAUAAUUUCGUUGGCAUUGUCAUUAAGAUUAUUGUGAAUUAAAAUUUUAUUACUAUUCACCACAUACAAGAACACCGUUAUGGGUAAAAGUGAAGUAGAAGAACCAAUUUCUAAUGAUAUUACGUGGUAAAAACCAAUUGUCUAAAAAAUGGAACUGUUCAUACUCUGGUCCAACGCUAAGGCCCAAGUCUAAAUAAAAGGCUCAAUCCAAAAGAUUGACCCUCAUUCGACACCGACCUUCUCUCAAGAAGUUGGAUCCAAUGACGACUUGCUCUAAGGAAGUCAGGAACAAAGAUUAGCUGACAAAUAAUCUUUAUUCAAAUAAAUAACUGCCCCUAAAAUCUCUCAACCCACUUUCAGGAGCCAUAUCUCAACUACCCUAGGAUAAAGAGAUGGUGAUCCUCCUUAAAAGGUGGAACUACUCCAAGGGUGGUUAUUGGUUCACUACUAUAAAUACACUAACACUCUUCAGGUAUCUCUAAGUUCCAAUACUCUCAAAACUUGCUUAGACCCUUGCUGACUCAAGCAUCUGAGUGUCUUUGCAGGUACCACCCCCAUUCCUUCAUACCCACAAGUCGGACGGAGGCUCCAGACGCAAACAACAAAUAAAGAAUCAAUCAAUUGCCUAAACGAUUAUAAUCUUAGUAAUUAGGUUAUGUAAACAUUCAAUAUUGAAAAGUACUUGUUAUCAUCGUUAUUUUAAAUUUUAUUUUCUUGUGUAAAAAAAUUAUAUUUUUUGAGUUAUUUAUCCAAACGUUACAACUUUAAAAUAAGUACUUCUAUAAAAAAUAUUAACAUUAGUUUUAAUGUUUAACUUUUAGGAUAAAUAAAAAGAUGAGAUCUUUUUUAUAAAUUUGAUGAUUAAAAAUUUAUUUAUUAUAGAACAAGUUAAGUCUAUUUCUUGACUAUAGGAAUAUAUAUAAUUCACUCUUGAAUGUAAUCAAAAUAAAUAUAUAUUUAUUUAAUUUUUUAAAUUUUACAUUAAUUAUUAAAAUCAUAAUAUAAUGGAUGUACUCCUAUUAAAAAAUGAAAAUGACUUUAUAAUUAUUCUUUUGUUGGAAAAAAAUAUGACUCAAUAACUAUAGAGUAUAAUUUAAACAACUAUAAAUAAGUAACAUAAGUAAUAAAAAUGGACAUAAAAAUUAAUUUUUUUGUUAUUUGGUAUAAAAAUAAAUAUAAUAAAAUAAAUCAUUGUUCUCAUACAUAAUGACAUAAAAUUUAACAUUAUCCUUUUCUAGAGUCAUCUAUUUUUUUAGUUUUUAUCCUUAUUUUUGUACUUUAUUUUAAUUUUAUUAAACCAAAAAAUACUAAUGUCAUUUAACUUUAAUUUUUAAUUUUUAUUAUAAAUAAAAAUAUGUGACAUUGAAUGUAUUAGAUAAUAAAAAAAAACUCAUAAUAAAAAAAAUUAAAUUUACUCCUUCGUUACCUUUACAGGAAUGUAGAUGAUUCACAUAUGAGUUACGAGAUUUUUUUUUCAACUUUUAUUUUUAAAGUAAUAUUCACUUCUCAGUGUAAAAAUUAUGAAUUAAUAUAUAUGUUGGUAACUAAUUGCGAUUGAAGAGAAGAUAGAAAGAGAAUAAAGAUAGAGGAAAGAAGAGAGAACAAGCUAAUACAAGAGGUAGGGGUGUUCAUGGAUUGGAUCCGAUCUGCAUAUCCGCAGUGUUUAUCCAAAUUCGAUCCGAAAAUUGCGGAUAUAGAUCCGAUCCGCAAGGCUUUCGGAUCGGAUCGGAUCGAAUCCGCACACUAAUCGGAUCGGAUUGCGAAUUUUGUAUUGGUAUCCGCAUAUCCGUGUAUCCGCAAAAAUAAAGAAAUAAAUAAUUAAAUAUUUUUUUUAUGUUUUAUUUCAACUAAUAAUUAUCAUAUAUGUUGUAUUAUUUUAAUUUAUUAUUUAAAAAAAGUAUGUUUAAUGAUGAUCUUUUUUAUAUAGUAUAUUUUUAAUAUUUUUUUUAAUAUGCUAUAAUUUUUUACUAUUAUUAUUAUUAUUAUUUACAGUUAAUUUUCUAGCCUAGUUGCUAAGAAGAAGAAAAAGCAAAAUUGGCUUGACUAUUACCAACUUAAAUAUUAUAGAAAUCAGACCAAAAGGCCAACUAAAAAGGUAUGCCUUCAAGUCUUCAACAAUCCAAUUAUGCACUCUGAAUUAUUUGUCCAUUUUGAAUUUGGUUUCAGCAUAAGUUUUCUCAUACUAUUUUUCAAUGCAUCCAUUUCUUUUCUUUCUUUAGGUAGCGUUUGUUUGUAGAGACACGACAGAACAAGACACUGAGACAAAGACAACAGGACAGAGACAUUAAAAAUUAUGUUUUGUAUAUCGUAUUUGGAUACGAUGGAUAGGACACUAAUGUAAUGUCCAGUAUUAUGUUUGGAUACACAUGGACAGGACUAAAAUAUUAUAUAAAAUGACUAAAAUAGUCAUGUGAUUCCAAAUUUUUGAGUAUAAACUAAUUUAAUAAAUAAUAAGAGUACGUAGGAGUACAGACAGUGGGAACUUGAAAAAAAUAUUUGAAGCAGUCAAAAAUUUUAAUAAAAAAUUAUAUAAUAAUAUUUAUAUUAAAAUAAAAUUUAUAAAUAUAAUUAUUUUUUUUAAAUUUAUUAUUAAUAUGUAGGAAUACAUAUAGUUAAUAUUAACAAAAAAAAUCUGAGUUUGAUUAAUAAAAAAUUUCAUUUAGGUUAAUAAGCCAAAUUAAUUUUAAAUACAAAAUCAGUUUUAAAAAAAGAAUCCAUUUUUAAAUGGAAAAAAAUUAAUUUUUGCACAUAAAAAUCUAUUUUUAUUUAGAAAAUUAAUUUUUUUUAUCUAAAAUUUUAUUUUUCUUUCAAAAAAUUAAUUUUUCUUUAAAUUAUAUAAAAUCAAUUACAACUUAUAAAUUAUUUUUUAGCAUUUUUAGAUAUCAAUUUUACCUUUAUAAUAUUUAUCUUUUAAAAGUCUCCAGACUAAUUAUUUUUGUUAUUAUUUUUAUUACAAAUCAAAUAAUAUAAUAUAAAGUUAAAAUGAUGUUGAAGUAAGAAUGAUAAGAAAAAAGAAAUUAUUCAGUCUAAUAAAAAUUUUUAUAAAAAAGAGAGAGUACCUGAGAAAAAAAGAGAAAGAAAAAGAACGUAGAAAUAAAAAAAGAGCAUGGAGUAAAAAAAAGUACUUUCUAAGAACAACGCAAAAUAGAAAAAAUAAGAAGGGGUAACAGUGGAAUAAUAAAAAAUAGCACCAUGGACAAAAAAGAAAAAAAAUUCAUAAAAACGUCCGUGUCUCUCUUCCAAAUCCGUGUCCAUCAUUGUCCUCCGUAAAAAAGUGGACACAAAAGGAUUAAAAACUGUCCCAGAGACAAUAUGUUCAGUGUUCAUGUCUUUGCUUCCAAACGCUUUUUAAGAAUGUGCUGUCCAUGUCUCCGUGUCGUGUCUCCGAAAACAAACACUACCUUACAUAUGGCUAACAUUGUGUCAGCAAUCUGGAUUUUUAGGACUUUGCAACAAUAGGGUGAAUGCAAUUGAUUUUUACACGGACGAAAUCGAUAAACUUUCAAAAGAAGCUAAUAUUACCAAACCUUCUUGUACAAUUUCAUGUACUUCAUAAUUUCUUGUUUACUUGGUGGAUCACAUAAUCUUAUGCCAUUAUUAUAAACAUUUAAUAAUAUUUUUUCAUUUCAUAAUUUGAUUGUGUUACAGCCCGGCCCAGGAUUCCCGCGGGUCAACCCGACCCGAGCUCCACCCGACCCGGCUACGCACCUUUCAAUCGACCCAGACACGCGUCCCGUACGGCUCACCUGCAGUUGUGGGACAGCGUUCUUGGGAAUAUGGGCCUGCCCUCCAGAGGGGCCCACUACUGACAUGUAUAUAAGGGGAAGACUGGCUCUUCCCCCGAGGUACGUCACAUUCCUACAUCACCCUCUUUCCGCCUGCACAUAUUUUGACAAAGGCGUCGGAGUGUCUUUGCAGGUGGCACCCCCUUCCUUUCCACACGAAGUACCCAGGACCUCGCACCUCUUGGACCGGAAGACCGUGACCAGACGAGCCCCUUCCAUCACUUCGAAUCCUGACCCGAACCGUCCGGUAACCGACCUACCGAACAUUGGCGCCGUCUGUGGAGAGACUCGUCCAUGGACUUCGUGCUAGUCCAAACUGGGACAGGCUGCGAGGCAGCGCCUCCCGUGCCCGGAAAAGGCGUCGCUGCGGCGGAAACUCGGCAACAACAGAGGUCGCCCCCAAGGGACGCGACGCAAACUCACGAGAGACGCCUCUUCGGGGGGACAGGCGACAACCACGCCAGGAUAAUGCAAGAGCUGCGCCAUAGGAUGCAAGACUUAGAACGCCGGCUAGCAGAAAGAGAACGCGACCAACGCACCCCGGAGCAGAGCCCCACCCGCUCCCGUUCAAGGAGCCGCUCGAGGCGCACACCCAGCCCUCAAUACGAGUCGGAGAGCACUGGGGGACGGGGGCGCGCCAGAAGAAGAAGUCGGGACCCCAUCAUUUACGCCCGACACGAGAGGCGGCGUGCGUCGAACAGGGGCGAAGAGGACGCCCGUCGGGAGAAUGACGAGCCGAGGAGAACUACCUGGGGACCAGUGAUAAUAGGAGCGACCCCUUUCCACCGUUCCGUACUCGAGGUCCGGCUGCCGAAACACUUUGACAAGCCAACGGACAUGAAGUAUGAUGGAACACAAGAUUCCCUGGAACACUUAACGGCCUUUGAGGCCAGAAUGAACCUGGAAGGGGUGGGAGACGAGGUCAGAUGUCGCGCCUUCCCGGUCACCUUGGCGGGCCCAGCGAUACGGUGGUUCAACAACCCCCCGCAGGGCUCGGUGACCCAAUUCUCUGACAUCAGCCACGCCUUCUUGGCUCAAUUCACGACCAGGAUUGUCAAAGCCAAACACCCAAUCAAUUUGCUAGGGGUGACACAGAGACCCGGGGAGCCGACCAGGAAAUACCUGGACCGUUUCAAUGACGAGUGCCUGGAAAUUGACGGUCUAACGGACUCGGUGGCAAGUCUGUGCUUGACGAACGGGCUCUCGAAUGAGGACUUCAGGAAACACCUUACCACAAAGCCCGUUUGGACAAUGCAAGAGAUCUAGUGCGUGGCCAAUGAGUACAUCAAUGACGAAGAAGUCAGCCGGGUCGUGGCUGCCAAUAAACGGCAGCCCGCCUACAACCAAGCCCGGCACUAUGAAGGCAGAGAAAGACCAAAGGAACACGCCAGGGAUGGCGGUCCGAGUAAAACACCCAAACCGUUCCCCCGAGUUGGGAAGUUCACCAACUAUACCCCCCUCACGGCAUCAAUCACCGAAGUUUACCAACAGAUAGCGGAAAAGGAGAUACUGUCAAAGCCCCAACCUCUGAAUGACAGGACGGGAGGAAACAAGAACCUCUACUGCGAGUAUCACAAGGGUUACGGGCACAAGACCCAAGACUGCUUCGACCUAAAAGACGCCCUGGAGCAAGCUAUCAGGGAUGGAAAACUUGUCGACUUCUCCCACCUUAUACGGGAGCCAAGGAGACGCAACCGGGACCACGAUAGCGAAGACAGAUUCCGGUCAACAAGGCGACGACAGGAACCAGAGGGUGACGACCACGGCCUUACGGUGGUAAACGUGGUAACGGCCAGGAAUACCGCCCCAAGGUCAAAGUCAACGCAGAAAAAAGACGCCAAGGUCCUAGCGGUCUCCACCUCGACUGUUAGAAGUUUCCGAGGUAUCCCACCCAUCUCCUUCGGCCCAGAGGACCAAUGGUUUGACGAGGCACCGGAAAGUCUGCCCAUGGUCAUCACGACCAGGGUCGAAACGGGCCUCGUCAAACGAAUCCUGGUAGAUAUGGGGGCAGACUCAAACAUCAUGUUUUGAAAUGUUUUCGAUGCCCUGGGACUAAGGGACGCCGACCUGACGACCCACCAGCACGGUGUGGUAGGGUUGGGGGAUCACUUCAUCAAGCCGGAUGGAAUCAUCUCACUCCCGACCUCUGUGGGACAGCGGCAGAAGCGACGAACAGUUAUGGCAGACUUUGUAAUAUUACGAGAUUCCACGGCUUAUAACAUCAUCCUGGGGAGAAAAACCAUCAACGACCUGGGGGCGGCCAUUAGUACAAAGCUACUGGUGAUGAAGUUUGUCACCGAUGACGGAUCCGUAGGAUCCAUCAAAGGCGACUUGGAAACGGCAGUCGCUUGCGACCACGCCAGCCUUUCUCUCAGGAAAAAGUCCAAAGAAGCAUCCGGGGUCUUCCUUGCUGACCUGAACGCCAGGAUAGACGACAAACCUAGACCAGAGCCAGAAGGAGACUUGGAAAAGUUCAGGGUCGACGAGGAGGACGAUAAAUUCACAUUCAUAAACAGAAACCUCCCCCAUGAAAUGAAGGGGCCUUUGAUGGAAAUGAUCAGGGCUAAUGCCGACCUCUUUGCCUGGACGCCUGUCGAUAUGCCCGGGAUAGAUCCCCAGCUCAUAUCGCAUCAUCUGGCCGUCAAGGCGGGAACCAAGCCAGUGGCCCAGAAGAGGAGAAAAAUGUCGCAGGAAAGGGCAGAAGAGGUAGCCAGGCACACGGCCAGCCUCCUAGAAGCAGGAUUCAUCCGGGAACUGGACUACUCGACCUGGUUGUCGAACGUGGUCCUGGUUAAAAAGCACAAUGGGAGAUGGAGAAUGUGCGUGGACUACUCUGACCUCAACAAGGCGUGUCCCAAGGACUGCUACCCCCUGCCUAACAUUGACGCACUCGUCGACGCAGUGGCGGGGUACCGGUAUCUGAGCUUCAUGGAUGCCUACUCAGGAUACAAUCAGAUCCCGAUGCACCGACCCGACGAGGAAAAAACGGCGUUCAUAACGCCAGGGGGAAUCUAUUGUUACAGGGUAAUGCCUUUUGGUUUGAAAAACGCUGGGGCCACGUACCAAAGGCUGAUGAAUAAGAUAUUCAGUGAACUUAUAGGCAAAACAGUAGAAGUCUACGUGGAUGACAUACUCGCGAAGACCGCACGACCCGACGACCUCCUGAGCGACCUUGAUGGCGUUUUUUCGUCCCUCCGGCAGCACGGCAUGAGGCUUAAUCCGCUCAAGUGCGCGUUUGCCAUGGAGGCCGGAAAGUUCCUGGGAUUCAUGAUCACUCAAAGAGGAGUGGAAGCCAACCCCGAAAAGUGCCAAGCAGUUCUCCAGAUGAAGAGCCCGGGUUGUAUCAAAGACGUCCAACGACUUGCUGGGAGGUUAACGGCUUUAUCCCGAUUCCUCGGCGCGUCGGCAGCAAGAGCCCUGCCUUUCUUCAAUCUAAUGAGAAAAGGAAUGACGUUCGAAUGGACCCCAGCGUGCGAAGAGUCAACCACUUNNNNNNNNNNNNNNNNNNNNNNNNNNNNNNNNNNUAUCUAUACCUAUCAGUAACCGAGGAAGCACUUGCCACAGUGCUCGUUAGAGAAGAGGGGAAGACCCAACAACCCGUUUACUUCGUGAGCAGGGUCCUCCAAGGACCAGAACUUAGGUACAGCAAGCUGAAAAAACUGGCGCUGGCGCUCCUAGUCUCCUCCCGAAGGUUAAGACAAUACUUCCAGAGCCAUCGUAUAAUCGUGAGGACGGAUCAGGCGAUUCGCCAAGUACUGCAAAAACCUGACUUGGCCGAUAGGAUGAUGACCUGGGCCAUCGAGCUCUCCCAAUAUGACCUACAGUAUGAACCCCGACAUGCAAUCAAAGCCCAGGCAAUGGCAGACUUUCUGGUAGAGGUGACGGGAGACCCCCCCAAGGAAACGGGCACACGGUGGAGGCUCCACGUGGACGGGGCCUCCAACCAAACGUCCGGGGGAGCAGGGGUCAUCUUAGAAAGCCCAGCAGGGAUCAUCUAUGAGCAAUCGACUAAGUUCGAGUUCCCAGUGUCAAACAACCAAGCAGAAUAUGAGGCUCUCUUGGGUGGACUAAUACUAGCUCGGGAAGUCGGGGCGACAAAGGUCGAAGUUUGCAGCGACUCACAAGUUGUCACCUCGCAGGUAAACGGAAGCUACCAGGCCCGGGACCCCCUCCUGCAAAAAUACCUGGAAAAGGUUAAAGAAAUAACAAGUCAGUUCCAGGAGGUCAUCGUCCAACACAUCCCAAGAGAAAGGAACACACGGGCGGACCUCCUGUCUAAGCUGGCGAGCACAAAGCCAGGAUCGGGUAACCGGUCUCUUAUCCAAGGCAUGGUGAAGGAACCAACGGUCACCCUCCAUUUGACGAAGUCAAGCCCCUCGUGGCUAGACCCCAUCACCAACUUCCUGGAACUCGGCAAGUUGCCUGAAGAUGAGAAAGCAGCCAAAGCUUUAAGAAGGGAGGCGGCCAGAUACGCAAUCAUACAUGGACAACUAUUCAAAAAGGGACUCAGCCAGCCCCUAUUAAAGUGUUUGCACCCCGACCAGACGGACUACGUGCUUAGAGAAGUCCAUGAGGGGUGUUGCGGGCACCACAUCGGGGGCAAAGCCCUAGCAAGGAAGCUCAUCCGAGCCUCAUGUGGAGGCAGGUGAUAACCCGUUUCGAUAUCCCGGAGGUCGUUAUCUCGGAUAAUGGGACCCAGUUCACGGACAAGAAGUUCAUGGAGUUCCUCUCUGGCCUAGGGAUAAAACAGAGGUUCUCCUCGGUAGAACAUCCCCAAACAAAUGGGCAGGUAGAGGCUGCAAACAAAGUCGUCCUUCUUGGUCUAAAGAAACGCUUAGGCGACAAGAAAGGAACAUGGGCUGACGAGCUCGCUUCCGUCCUAUGGUCCUACCGGACAACUGUGCAAAGCGCCACGGGGGAAACUCCCUUUCGCCUAACAUACGGGGUCGAUGCUGUGAUACCCGUCGAAAUUGGCGAACCGAGCCCCCGACUACUACUCACGGGCAUGAGCGAAGUGGUCGAAAAGGACCUGAUCGAGGAGACAAGGGAGAUGGCUCACUUAUCAGAAACGGCGUUGAAACAAAUAAUAGCCCUGCGUUACAACGCUAAAGUCCUCAAACGAGAUUUCGAGGAAAGGGACCUCGUCCUGCGACGCAACGACGUCGGCGCACCGACCCCAGGGGAAGGAAAGCUGGCGGUGAACUGGGAAGGUCCCUACAGGGUAAGGGAGGUGCUCGGCAAAGGUGCUUACAAGCUCGAAAGACUCGACGGCAAGGAAGUACCCAGAACAUGGAACACAGGUAACCUAAAGAGCUUCUACUCAUGACCUAACGGCUCGCUAACCAGGGAGCCUAACCAGAUAGUUGAUACUUGCCCUGUCCACAUGUUAAUUUACCUUCUCUAUUCGCUUUAUCAAAUACUUGACCAGCUGACGAUUAAUUUUCACUUGUUAAAUUUUUUACCUACCUAUUGCUCCCCAAUAUGUGCUUCACACGAUUGAUCUCUAAAACGGCAUCCCGGGACUGAUCACCCCGGGAGCCAGACGGAUCACAGCCAUAAUUAACUUGGCAACAACACGACCAAACCGGUCCGAACCGUUACCAACGUAAAAACGGCAAGACGGGCACAAGCAAUAAGCCCGCCCCGGAAACGCGGUAACAAAAAUAAUCCAACGAACAAGGCAAAAAGACAACGACGGCAACACGACCAGACAACGAAACGAGCGUAAAUUAUAAAGCAACCAAAUAAGCAUAACUUAUAAAGUGUCAAAACAUGGAACGGACAAGCAAAUUGUUCAAAACAAACAAACGACAAAUACACAAAGUUACAAGGUAUCACUUCCUCGGCAUAUCUACAAUCUUGCCAUCUUGAAUCAUUUUGAAGACCCCGAUAGCAGAGGUAUCGAAGUCGGGAGCCACAAUCUUCACUUGAGCCUUCAGCUUCUUUUUGAGCCCUUCGACUUCCGACUUAGCGACCUCGGGCAACGAGACGGCUUCAUCACGCUCUUUUUCCAAGGCCGCCACCCGACCCUGAGCAGAGUUCAGCUGGCCCUCCAAGGUCAUCUCCCGCUCGGUUAGGCGGGCCAUCGACUCGUCCGAAACUUUCAACUUCUCGGCAGCGGACAUCGCCUUCUCCUCCGAAACUUUGAGCUUCUCCGCCGUCUCAGACAACUGGCCCUGGAGCUGCUCAACUUGGACUUUGAAAUCAUUAUUGGCUUUGACAGAGGACUCGAGCUUCCUCCGGAGGGUCUGCAUCCCCGACAACUCGAACUCGGCCUUUCGAGCUAUCACGGCCCCCCGGAGCAAAGUCCGAUACAUCCAUCUAGCCUGCCCAGCCAGUUCAGUGCCAAGGAAAUGUUCCUCCGUCCCAGGGAUCAAUUGGGAGUCAAUAAACCUUGUAGCAUCAAAAUUCCUCUCCAUGAUACUAAGGGCCCCCUCCGGGCUGGCUGACGACCUCCGCCUUUUGGGAGUAUGGAUAAGCUCCACGUCAUCGUCUUCUUGAUGGGAAGCGGUUGAGUGCCCACCAGUUGCCUCCUCGGGAAUAGGGGAACCCUGAUCCACGAUAGGCCUUUUCCCCGCCGCAACGGCCUCCCGUGAAGAAGCCUCGCCCUGAUCCCCAACCUCCACGGCUGGACCCUCCGACUUCCCGGCCUGAUCCUCCGCCUCCCCGGCAUCUUUCUCAGCUUUCUCGUCGUCACUAUCUUCGAAAAAGGUCUUCAUCAAAUUUUCAAGCCCGACCACAGUGGCAGACAUUUCCACUACAGCAAACAACAGACGCAUUAGUCGUUAAAUCGAAUAAAGAAAACAACAAUAAACGCAAAGGCAAGCAAAUAAGACAACUCACAGAUAUAGCUCCUGCCGGCCUCCCGUUCACCCAUAAGAAGAUGAGGGUUCACGGGGUUCUUUUCAAACAUGGCAAAAAGUACGUCAGCUAUUUGCUUAUCUACAGGCGACAACCUCUUGUACGUCACCUUGAUGAAGGGAUUCAACCCCGCCCCAAAACUCCAGUAAGUCGGGAUAAGGCGCUCCCCCUCUAACGACAACCAAAAGGGGUGACGACCCUUGACGGGACGAACUUUGAAAUACUUGUCUUUGAAACCAUGGUAGGAGUCCUCAAAGAGGCCAAAUAUUCUCCUACCGUGGCCAGAACGAAAAGAGAGAAAUCCUUUCCUCGCCUUCCCCUGCUUGGAAGGGUUGGUAAGGUUGAAGUAAAAAAGGAAGACGUCCACUGACACCGGCAGCUCUAGGUACUCGCAAACCAUCUCGAAAUAGCGGAUCGAGGCCCAACUGUUCGGAUGGAGCUGAGAGGGGAGACUGAUAUCCGGUUUAGGAGCGCCAUUUGAAAAUCAGAGAACGGUAUCCGGACGCCAACUUGUGUGAACAUGGACUUGUAAAACCAAAUCCAAUCGGGGACACGAGGAGAAUGGAAGUUGAGCUCAUAAAUACGCUCGUUGGGGGCAGGAACAACGGUCUCAUAGUUGGCCUCCUCGUCCGUCCCCCCACACAAGUGGCCGGCUCGCCGGAACUCGGUCAACUCCUCUAAAUCCAUUUGGUUGGGCGAUUCCUUUAUAUCGUCAGUCACCCAGGCGUACGGGUCAUAGGCCGCGCCAGAUCCAGAAGACCGGGAGACGAUGCGAGGCAUACCUACAGCGGAGUACCACUCCGUUAGUCUAUGAGGUCGGGAGUCCAUAGAAACCCAGAAACUACACCCUUUCAACUUUAUCAUGACCAAAUACGGUUAAAGCCUAAGCCUAUCACACAAGUCACCUAAAAACCUACCCCGGAAUGGUACCCCUCCCAUAAUUCAUCUACCCCAGCGUUGGAAAGCCAUCAGGCAAAAGUAAACAUAAACAGCAACUACACAAGGCAUAGUAUAAACACAAGAGAAUAAAAAUCAAGAAAUUACCUAAAAUGGUUGUAGGAACUGGAGUGUGAAAGAGAAGCACGAGAUGGCUCGAGCAAGAAAAUUCGGAUGUCAGGGAGAAAAGAGGAUGAAAAUAGCAAGAGUGGGAGAAAAAGAAAAAGGAAACUGUUUAAAAACCACCACGAGAAGCGCGAAAGAAGGCAGGGGCAAAACGGUCUUUACGCACGGGAUUUUUUCAAACCAUUAUGAGCAUUUAAUGCUCAGCGCGAAGAACGAAGCGACGAACGAACGCCUCAGCAGACCAAGAGACACGCGCACAAGAGACGCGCCUCUCCCACGGUCAACCGACUCGACGACAACGCACGAACAAGGACAUCACGCGCCACCGAUCGCCCCCACGACCAUCACUGGCACGUCGGGGGCACUGUUACGGCCCGGCCCAGGACUCCCACGGGUCAACCCGACCCGAGCUCCACCCGGCCCGGUUACGCACCUUUCAAUCGACCCGGACACGCGUCCCGUACGGCUCACCUGCAGCUGUGGGACAGCGUUCUUGAGAAUAUGGGCCUGCCCUCCAGAGGGGCCCACUACUGACAUGUAUAUAAGGGGAAGACUGGCUCUUCCCCCGAGGUACGUCACAUUCCUACAUCACCCUCUUUCCGCCUGCACAUAUUCUGACAAAGGCGUCGGAAUGUCUUUGCAGGUGGCACCCCCCUUCCUUUCCACACGAAGUACCCGGGACCUCGCACCUCUUGGACCGGAAGACCGUGACCAGACGAGCCCCUUCCAUCACUUCGAAUCCUGACCCGAACCGUCCGGUAAUCGACCUACCGAACAGAUUGUAAACUUACUCUAAAUUGGUAUAUGUAGUGGAAUUCGGUACAUGUAUAAAUUGUGAAAAGGUUUCAACGGUUUAUGUAUAUUUUGUAUCUUCAUAGAAACUGUGAAAUCUCUACCACAGUUUCUUCUUAAAUACAUGAUCAACGUAAAUCGUGGAACCCUUCAGCGAUUUAUGUAUAUUUUGAAUAUGUGGGACUCCUUCCACGAUUUCAAUAAUUUUGUAAAAAGUUGUAUUUUCGUAUCUAAAUUGCAAAAUUGUAUUUUAAUAAUUUUAAAACUCAAAUGUUUUAUUUUCGUAAAUUGCCCUUAAAUAUAAUUGAGAAAUAAAUAAAUUUACAAAUAUUUAUAAAUUUUAUCUUCAUUGUUACACAUAGUAACAACAUAAUGAUUUUAGUAUUAUAUCUAAAUUAAUUUAAAUUCAAUUAUUCUAUAUAUUAAAGAAAUUAAAUAACUAAUAAAUUUUUUAUUUUUAUUUAAUUAUUCUAUACAAAAUUUUUGAAUGCUUGAUAUCUUAAUUUUUGUUUAAAUGAUAAAAUAUGACUUAACAAGUAAGUAUGAAAAAUAAGUAUUUUUAUAAUAUUUAUACAUCUAGAUAUCUAAAUCAAACAAAAAAAUAAUUCUUUUAAUAAAUCUUUAACAACUCAAAAGUUAACACAAUGGAUAUGUAUGGAUCAAAGUGAUAAACAAAAAUGAGAGCUACGAUAAUAGUAAUAUGAUAUGGUGGUAAUUGAUUGCGGUCGGGGUUAAUAAAAGAAGAAAACAAAAAAGGAGAAUAAAAUAAGACAAUAUAAUAGUGACGACGAGACAAUAAUAAAAUUUAAAUUUAUUUAUUUUAUAUUUCUUACAAAUAUUAAAUAACUUAAAAUAUUUUAUUUUUUUAUAAUUUAUUUUUUAAUUAUUAAUAUUAAACUUAUAAUUUUAGAAAUAAAAAUAUAAAAAUAUUUUUUUAACUCAAUAGAAAAGCGCUGAACAGGUAUCGCAAUUGAGCCACUAAUUGUAAUAAAAGGUUGAACAUUGUCCCAUUUUUAAAGAAUACCUAAUUGAAUCGAUCUUCUAAAAUAAAAUUCAAAAUUUAGAGCAUUUAAAUUCAUUAGGUUUUUUAAACCAGCGCCAAUACAACGUCGUUUUGGAUUAAAAAGAAAAAAAAAAUUAACGAACAAUUUCUUGACUCUGAAAUCUUCUUCUUCUCCCAGCCGUGCUCUCCUCUUCGUCGCUGUUCCCUGCCGCCUCAGUCACCGUCGUCUCCUCUCUCCCAGAAGCCUUGUAAUCGCCGACGUCGCCUCCCAGUCCUCUGCUAAGCCUCUCCUCGGCUUCUCAGUUCAGGACUUUCCUCAGGUAAUAUGUUUUUUAAUUUUUCAGUCCUCAAUCCGCUGUGUUAGUUUGUUUCCAGUUUUUCAAUUUGUUGUAGUUGUUACUGCUGUGUUUUUGCCUCUCCUUCCUUCUCCCUCUUCGGAUCUUCCUCCAUCUCUGCUCAUAACUUAGCCGCACUUUGAAUUUCUCUCGUCUCCUUCCUUUGCGUACUCUCUCUCUCUCUUCAAGGCAACAACCAGCUACCACACACCUCUUUCAGCCUAAUCGAUUGGAGAAGCUCACAUUAUCCUUUUCUUUUCUUUUUUUUUUUCACUGUUUUUGCAGUUUCGAGUUCGAUUAUGUCGAAGGACAAGGACUCUACCAAUUUGUCACGCACCUUCAAAUACCUCUUAGGUUUCGAUUUAAAUUAUUGUUUCUUUUUUCAGUAAUGACAAUUUAGCAAUGUGAUUUUAGUUUAACUGGAAAACAUACAUCAGAUUUUAGUUUAACUGUUUCAGAUUUUCGUUAAAAUAGUAUUGCAUUCGUUCUUUCUUUUUCUGGUGCUACCUUACAUAAGAAGGCUUGCUGAUCUUCUUUUCUCGACGUGUUGAAUGUGGAUAUCAUGAUUCCAGCUACUCAAUUCUUGUCAAGAGGAAUUCCAUUUAUAUUCAAUACAUGGAUUGUAACUUGUAAGGCAUCUUACACAAGAGGACUAUGCGGUAAAUCAAUUUCUAUUGCUGUUUACAUCUUCUCUGUGCAACUGAGUAUAUGUAUGUUUGAUUGUGUUCAUCUUUAAACUUAGAAGCGGAUUCUCUUUCUGUUGUGAUGUAGACAUGUGCUUGAUAAAAUUUGCCAUCGGCAGUGUUCUCUAUCAUUUAUUCAGAUUAGAUAGCUUUAGCAAAUGAUUUACAUUGCUUAUCUGCUUCUUGUACUUAUGUUUUGGAUGAUCAGUUGUUUUGUUUCUGUGUUUCUUUGAUGCAGCUAUAUGCAGUGCAGUUUCAUCUGUUUGUCACAUGUGUUUUAUUUCUUAGUCGGGAAGGCUUCCGGCAAGCAUGCGUGCGCAUGGAAAUGCAAAGGUGAUCCAUCAUGCAUUGCUAUUUCUGUUAUGUAGGAAAUUUUGCUAGAAACUUUUUUCUCUAUUGAGUUAAUUUGGGUUCCUUGCUUCAGUUAGGGAUAGUACAGGUUCCAUCCCUAUGGUGAGAGAUUUGCCAGUUCUUUUAGUUCUCUUUGAUUAGGUUGAUCUGAUCUAUGUUUUUCAACUAAGUGGGUUUAAGGAUGAGUCUUAGGUUUAGACCUGCAAAUGCAAUGUUAGUUUAGAGCUGAUUUUUAUGAUGCUAUGUAUGAACUAUAUUGUUAGUCAAAGGAAGUGUUUGUGAUCAAAGUUGGUUUUGCAUAAGGUGAAAGAACUAUGGAAAAGUCAAAUUGAUUCAAUUAACCCUAGGUUAUAUCUAUCUCUUUGAUUGUAUAGAACAUAGUAUUCCAAAAAUGUAGUUCUUAAUUUAAUUUCCGAACGCUCCUGAUCAAAUCCUUUUAUCUUAUACAUUUUUUCAUUUUAUAGUGAUUGCAAUACAAAAGAUGUUGUGAAGCUAAUGAAAGUAGUGUGGAUGAGUUUCCCGCUUGGAAUAUUUAUUACAAUAGUGGCAUGCUCUUUUGUUCUAUGGUUGCAAGGCCUAAGUUAUUCUAGUUCACUUGGGCAAGCUGUCUUGAUCAAUGGUAAUCUACUUGAGCUUUAUGCAAUUUAUACUCAUUUUUUCUUUUGUCUUUGUGUGACUAUUUAAGGCUUUGCUAAAAAAAACGUAGUUAGAAAGCCCUAAAGAUAAAGCCUAACUUUACUGGAGACAUUGAUUAUUCAUGAUGAGAAAAAGAAUUCCAUAAUCUUAUUUUUGUUCAAUCCACAUGUAAUCAAGCAGCCUGGAAUAACUCUUCAAGCUAUCACACAAUGUAAUCUUUCAAAUUUAAUCAAUUUGACUUGUUAUGUCAGGUCUUGCAUGCAUUUUGGAGCUUUUAGCUGAGCCUUUGUAUAUUCUUUCACAGAACUUGGUCUUGCUUGAAUUAAGAUUGAUGGUUGAGACAGUAGCUACUAUUUCACGAUGCUUGACAAUGUACUUUCUACUUGUCAAGAAAUCUCAAAUGGUAAGAGCUUAUUUGUAUUGUGCUACAGACUUGUCCAAUUUCCUUAUCAUAAGCAUAAAUAGUCAGUGCUUGACAAUGUGCUUGCAUCCAGUUUGAAUUAAAAAUGCAUACACGAAGUCUAUUAUUAAGAUGUCAUUGGUUUUAUUCCAAAAAUGCUUGCUGUUGUUUUAUGACUCAAAUGUUAGUAACAGAUUGCGAGCACAAAAAUAGAUCCUACAUGCAUAUAUAAUAACUAGCUAGCCAGUAUUGAGCUUGUUCUUCCAAGUUGGAUAUAUAGGGUUGCAGAUUUAUUGGUAAUAGUUUCUUGUUUAAGUAUAUGCAUAUAUGAUUAGUAUAUAUAUUUGUGUGUGUGUGUGAUGUGUGUAUGCAAAUAUUGUGGAAUUGUCUUUUCAUUUUUUAUUUCUGUUAACAUAAAAAUAUAUCCGAUUUUAUUUUAUACUAUUUAGUUUUGUAAUAUAUAAAUAAAUAAAAGAUGAUACGAUCAUUAUCUCUUCAAUACCCCAUGUCAAGUUUGGCAUAUUAAUAAUAAGGAUAAAUUAAAAUUUCAUGUAUAAAAUUGGCAUAUCUAAUAUUGUGUAUCACAUAAAAAGAGAUGAGCUUAACUUUAAGUUUGAUAUAUUAAGAUAACCAAUUAAAAUAUCAACUAAUUUAAACUUUUUUAAAAUUAUUAAAAAAUAAAAUUUUUAAUUUUUAAAAUUAGAAUUUAUAUACCCAUUUUGGUCCUCAAAAAAUUUUAAAUCAGACAUUUUAGUCCCCAACUAAAAUUAAUUACUCGAUUGUCCUUAACAAUUAAUUCCGUCAGUCAUUUAGGUCCUUGGCUCCGUCAACUCUAACGGAAGACAAAAUGGUCCCUGAAAACUCUAAUAUGGGACAAAAUGAUCCCCGACAACUCUAACAAGGGACAAAAUGAUCCCUGACCCCUUUAUUCAAAAACGACACUGUUCUUCCUUAAUUUUUAUCAUAUCUCGCAUAACCCUAACAUUCAUACUCUCCUUCUUCACCUUCAUAGUCUUCUUUUUCAUAUUUUCCUUCCUCCUCUUUAGCUCCAAGAUUAAGUCAUGGUGUAAUUGUCACACGUGUCGCACCUACCUCAACAUGUCAUGGACUACACACUUUCUAAAUCUUUGUGACUGAUACAUCCACCUCCUCUGCAUUUCACCCACCAAAAGCAUCUACUUCCACGUCUUUGAUAACAUCACCUCCAACCCCGACAACGUCCACGACAUCCUCAAGACCAAGUUCCACAACUGCUCCAAGGGCACACCUUUCUCCACUCUCCAGCAAGCAAUAUAGAUUGUUGGACAUUAGGAUAUCAUGAGAAGAUUCUCCUUCGACAUCAUAUGCAAAUUCUCAUUUGAAAUAGACAUUGAGUGCUUCAUUCCUUCUUUUCCGGAGUCCAAGUUGGGAGACAGUUUCGACCUCGCAUCCAAGCUAUUACAACGAGCAAUGUUGCCGUUGCCGCUCAUAUGGAAACUGAAGCGAUUAUUGAACAUUGGUUCGGAGAAGAAGCUGAAGAAACCGAUCGUAGUGGUGGACAAUGUGGUCAUGGAGAUGUUAGGGCAGAGGAGGAGGGAGAUGGCAACGACGACGACGAGUCUUAACAAAUCAGACUUGCUGUCUAGAUUUAUGGGAUCCAUCGAAGACGACAAUUAGUUGGGAGACACAAGCAUUAGUUUCCUGAGUAUGAAUUGGUUGAGAGCAAAUUGAGGAUUUUUUUUUCUUGUGAACAUUAAAUUUAUAGAGUGUGCAUUGUGUAGUUUGAAGUUACAGUGUUAGACUGUUAGUGUUAUGCAAGAUAUGAUGGAAAUUGGGAGAGAACAGUGUCGUUUCCAAACAGAAGUGAUCAGGGAUCAUUUUGUCCCCUGUUAGAGUUGUCAGGGACUAUUUUGUCUUCCGUUAGAAUUAACGGAGUAAAGGACCUAAGUGAGUGACGGAGUUAAUUGUUAGGGACCAAUCGAGCAAUUAAUUUUAGUUGGGGACUAAAGUGUCCAGUCUGAAAUUUUUUAAGGACCAAAAUGGGUAUAUACUCUUAAACUUAUAACUGAAACAUGACGUCGACAAUCCGAUCUCAUCAUAGAAUAUGUGCGUGGAGAUUGGCACGUUGCAAUGAUAGUUGUUGGAGCUUCAGAAAAUGUAUGAUGUGCAAAUGGGUUAAAUACGGAUACAAUUGAAAGAUUAUGAUAAUGAGAAUGAAAAUAAUGCUGUUAAAGAAAGUGAACACGUGACUAAUGCCCCUGAACAUGUGACUAGUGCCCCUGAAAUUGUGACAACAAAAAAGAGCAAAAGGAGCAAAAAAAUACCUACAAAACUAAAGGAUUACAUCUUAUAGAAGGGGAGAGAGUGUGCCACUUGCUUCCAUGUGACUUCUGUGGAUUAUUAUUAAGCUUCCACCACAACAAUUGUUAUUACCAUUUAAUUUCUUCAAACACUUGUCCUCCAUCAUUGGUGCUUUCAUUGCUUAUCGCUAUGUCUAAUAAUUCAGCAGCUCGCUUGACUGAUCUUGAAAAUAGAAUGGAAGUGCUCUUAGCAAGGUCAGAGUGCAUUGAACACAUAGAAACCUUACUCUCUAAUCUACAAGUUCAACUUGAGCAUUCUCCUACCUCUGUGCACGGUGCAGUCCCGCAACCUCGCACCCCAUUUCAGGUGUGUAAUGUGAAGUUGGAUUUUCCACGUUUUGAUGGUCGCGAUGUUUUGGGAUGGAUUUUUCGUGCAGAGCAAUUUUUUUAUUAUUACAACACGCCUGAUGAGGAUCGCAUUACAAUUGCUGCGAUUCAUAUGGAUGGCGAUGCCGUUUCUUGGUACCAAAUGAUGCAGUGCGCCAACCCAUUCCAUUCGUGGCCUUCUUUGGCUCGUGUCUUGGAAUCUGAAUUUGGUCCAUCCCCUUUUGAUUGCCCUCGAGCUACAUUAUUCAAGCUAUCUCAAACAACAAAAGUAAAUUCACUUCUCUUGUCAAUCGUAUUUUUGGUCUGGCUCCAGAUGCUAUCCUUGAUUGUUUCAUCAGUGGUCUUCAACAAGAGAUUAAACGGGAUGUCUUUGCAUUUCACCCUAUGACUUUACAACGUGCAGUGUCUCUUGCUCGUCUAUUUGAGGAGAAAUAUGUGCUUGCAAAAUCAACUCAGCAACAUUCUGGUGUCUAUAAUAGAGAUUCUUCAUCAUCUAAACCAAACCAAAGCUCAACAACACCGUUUAGACAAAAUAUGCCCCCUUUGUUACCAGCUCCAACAGUUAAAAGCCCCACUAAUGCACCUAGACAACAACCAUUCAGACGCUUAACUCCAGCGGAAAUUCAACAAAAGAAGGAGAAGGGUCUUUGUUUUAAUUGUGAUGAACACUUCACUUUAAAUCAUCGUUGUCCUAACAAACAUUUUAUGAUUUUGCAAGUAGAGGAAGAUAAAGAGGGAAAUCCUUUAACUGACUUUGUUCUAGAUGGACAACCUGCUGUGGAUGAACAACCAAUGAUUCACCAUUUAUCCUUACAUGCCUUUAAAGGAGGCGAUGGAUGUGGUACAAUCCGUUUUCAGGGAUUUGUGAAAGGUGUUCCAGUACAAGUUCUUAUAGAUGGAGGUAGUGAUGAUACAUUUAUUCAACCUAGAAUUGCUAAGUUUCUUGAAUUGCCAAUCGAGCCAGCUGAGAUGCAAAUCAUGGUGGGUGAUGGUGUUUGUCUUCAUGUAGAGGGUUUAGUCAACAAAGUGAUUCUCAAUGCUCAGUGCCAUACAUUGACAUUUUCAGCUUUCUUGUUACCAGCAGCAGGUGCAGACCUAAUAUUGGGGACAACUUGGUUAGGAACUCUUGAUGACCAUAUUCAUAAUUAUCGCACCAAGACCCUCAAAUUUUACCAUGAAGGUGAAUUGAUUACAUUGCAAGGGGAUCCACAGCAGCUACCUUCUGAGGUUCAGUUUCACCAAUUCAAAAGAAUGUCUCAUACGGGAUCGAUUGUAGAAUUUUAUACCUUGCAAAAUAUUGAUAUGAUGGUGCAAAAUGAGGAAUUCCACCAAUUGCCAGAGAACUUACCUCCAGAACUAGUAGUGCUUCUCAAAUUUUAUUGGCAAAAUUUUCAAACAUCGGUGGGCUUACCUCCUAAUUGAAGCCAUGACCAUAGUAUUCCCUUGUUGGAAGGGGCAAACCCGGUAAAAGUGAGGCCUUAUAGAUAUCCACAUAGCCAAAAGGAGCAGAUUGAAACAAUGGUUAAAGAUAUGCUACAAGAAGGAAUCAUUCGGCCAAGUAAGAGCCCCUUUUCUUCUCUCCUGUACUCCUAGUUAGAAAGAAAGAUGGUUCGUGGCGUUUUUGUACUGAUUAUAAAGCACUAAAUUCUAUUACUAUUAAGGACUCUUUUCCCAUUCCUACUGUUGAUGAAUUAAUUGAUGAAUUGCAUGGUGCAUCUUAUUUUUCAAAGUUGGAUCUUCGGGCUGGUUAUCAUCAAAUCUUGCUCAACCCGGCUGACACUUAUAAAACUGCUUUUAGAACUCAUCAUGGCCAUUAUGAGUGGUUAGUCAUGCCCUUUGGCUUAACCAAUUCCCCUGCGACCUUCCAAAGCUUGAUGAACACUGUUUUCCAGGAUGUGUUGAGGAAAUUUGUCUUGGUUUUCUUUGAUGAUAUAUUGGUUUACAGUCCUACUUGGUCUGCACAUUUAUCUCAUUUGGAGACUGUAUUGCAAAUUCUUCUUAAGGAAAAAUUAUUUGCUAAGUAUUCCAAAUGUUCCUUUGGUGAAAGGCAAGUUGAUUACUUAGGUCACACAAUUAAUGCAGUUGGUGUUGCUAUGGAUAGUUCCAAGGUAGAAGUCGUUCUUUCUUGGCCAAUUCCGAUGAACUUGAAACAAUUGAGGGGUUUUCUUGGGCUUACUGGAUAUUACCGCCGGUUUAUCAAGUCGUAUGCUACAAUUGUAGCUCCACUUACCGAAUUAACAAAGAAGGACAAAUUUCUUUGGUCACAGGUUGCUGAGUCUGCAUUUAAACAGUUGCAACAUGCUCUUACCACUGCUCCUGUACUAGCCUUGCCAGAUUUUCAAAAGCCCUUUUGUUUGGAAACGGAUGCAUCAGGCACUGCUAUUGGUGCUGUUUUAACUCAAGAUGGUCAUCCCAUUACCUAUUUUUCAAAAAAAUUGUCCUCUCGAAUGCAGAAACAAUCUGCAUAUAUUAGGGAGUUGCAUGCAAUUACAGAGGCAUUAUCUAAGUUUCGACAUUACCUACUGGGCCACCGUUUCACUAUCAAAACUGAUCAACGUAGUCUAAAAGAGUUAAUGGAGCAAACACUCCAAACCCCGGAGCAGCAAGCAUGGCUUCCAAAAUUUUUGGGGUAUGACUUCACAAUUCAGAAUAAACCAGGGUGUGAAAAUGUCGCUGCUGAUUCUCUUUCUCGGUCAUUCAACAUGGCAUGGUCAGAACCGGUUCAUACUUGGCUAAAUGAUCUCCGCAAAGCACUUUAUGAGGAUGCAACGACCACCGAGUUGAUGCAGAAAUAUGCGACACAGCCACACAAACAAGAUCCAAUUGUUGUAAGAAAUGGACUGCUGUUUUGGAGAGAACGAUUAUAUAUUCUUACUCCUUUGGCUCCUCGAAUUUUACAUGAGUUUCAUAACUCACCAACAGGUGGUCACUCUGGAAUUGCUAAGACAACAAGUCGCAUCACUUCUCACUUUUAUUGGCUCCACAUGCAUAAAGAUAUUAAGGACUUUGUGCGACAUUGCGUGAUUUGUCAACAAGCAAAGAGCGAAAAUACUCUUCCGGGUGGGCUAUUGCAACCCCUGCCGAUACCACAACAGGUUUGGGAGGAUAUUUCAAUGGAUUUUAUUACAGCCCUUCCACCUUCCAAUGGCUUUACUGUGAUAUUAGUUGUAGUUGAUCGUUUGACAAAAUAUGCUCAUUUUAUGACGUUAAAGGCUGAUUUCUCUAGUAAAAGUGUGGCUGAUUGCUUUGUUGCUAAUAUUGUUAAAUUACAUGGUAUGCCUAAGUCCAUUGUUUCAGAUCGAGACAAAGUAUUCAUUAGUGCCUUUUGGCAACAGCUAUUCAAGUUGUAAGGUACUGUUCUGGCCAUGAGUUCAACUUAUCAUCCUGCCACAGAUGGCCAAAGUGAAGUGGUGAAUAGAUGUGUGGAAAUGUAUCUUUGGCUGUUUCUCUUUUGAUCAUCCUAAAACCUGGAGCAAACACUUGCCAUGGGCUGAAUUUUGGUAUAACACCAAUCAUCAUAGGAGCAUUGGCAUGUCACCUUUUAAGGCAUUGUAUGGUCGUGAACCACCGUGAGUUGCUCGGUAUGAACGCUCACCUAUUGAUCCUCCACAGUUGCAGCAAUUAUUGUCUGAAAGAGACUCACUUUUGGAUAGACUUAAGACUUCGUUGCAGAAAUCACAGGCUUACAUGAAGUCUCAGGCAGAUAAAAGACGUCGAAAUGUUAAUUUCGAGCCCAGGGAGGAAGUGUUGGUUAAGUUGCAACCAUAUCGAUAACACUCAACUGGAUUGAGGAAGAACCAGAAAUUAGGCCUCCGAUAUUUUGGUCUCUUUACAGUGCUUGAAAAGGUGGGACACGUUGCCUAUAAGCUGGAAUUACUUGAGCAUUCGCGGAUUCAUCCUGUUUUUCAUGUUUUGGUCCUCAAGAAGUUUCAUGAUGAUUUAAACUGUCGAUAUCUGCCAUUUCCUCAAGAAACUUUUGAAGCUGGUCCAAUUUUGCAUCCUCUAGAGGUAUUGGCAAAACACACUAUAAUAAAGGGUUAGGAAUCUAUUCCUCAACUCUUGAUCCAAUGGCAAAAUACCCAUAGUUCAGAAGCUAAUNNNNNNNNNNNNNNNNNNNNNNNNNNNNNNNNNNNNNNNNNNNNNNNNNNNNNNNNNNNNNNNNNNNNNNNNNNGCCUUUUUAACCUUCAACUUUGCAGACAAAGUCGAUUUUUAUGGGGAGGGUAAUAAUGUGCAAAUGGGUCAAAUACGGGUACAAUUGGAAGAUUAUGAUAAUGAGAAUAAAAAUAAUACUGUUAAAAAAAGUGAACACGUGACUAAUGCUCCUGACCAUGUGACUAGUGCCCCUGAAAUUGUGACAACAAGAAAGAGCAAAAUGAGCAAAAAAAUACCUACAAAAUUAAAGAAUUACAUCUUAUAAAAAGGAAGAGAGUGUGCCACUUGCUUCCAUGUGACUUCCAUGGAUUAUUAUUAAGCUUCCACCACAACAAUUGUUAUUACCAUUUAAUUUCUUCAAACACUUGUCCUCCAUCAAUGUAAUGUAAGGAGAUGGCGUUCACGUUGCAGAAAUUACUAUGCAAAAAAUUUGCGUUAAACUUAUAUGACGCAUUUUUAAUAUUCUAAUUCUAUUUUUUUAAAUCCUAAUUUUUAAAAAGUUGUUCAAAAUUAGUUUAUAGUAAAGUUUUUACUAAUCAUAAUUUAAUUUAGAUCGGAAUAAGCUAGGAAUGGUAUGUGGUCUCUUAAACAUGUUUGGUUUUGUACUUGUAUCUCUUUUGCUGAACAAAAGUAUUAAUGUUGUUGCAAUCCCAUGCUGAUAGCAAUAUAUGAUUAAUCUGGAAAUAGAUUUCCUCCAUUUUUUUUACUGGACAGAAUAAAGUGUGAUCUCUCACCUUUAAUUCUAUAAGUGGAACUAGAAAUUAAUAAGAGAGAACAAUAAAUGGUGAAAUCAAACACUGGACACUAUUCAAUUUUUUUUCCACCGGAGAGGAUCCACUCUCGAUUAAUCUCUCCACUAUUGCGGCAAUAUUAACCUUUUCUGGCUUUUCAUUGUUUCAUACCAUUGUAAUCAGCAUUUCCUUGUCCCUUUUGCCACAAAUAUUCAUGCGCAUCCCCAGUUGUUAUCUUCAUGCUUAUUAUGGCCUCAAAUUACCCUUCUUUAUAUAUAUGUAUAUUAUAUAUGUUAGAUUUUGCUCACGCAGUUUCAAGUUGAAGGUCUUCUUCCCUCUUUUCUCGGCCGAGGUGAUAAAUAAUUGUAGUCUUGCAAAAGUGACAAUUAUAAGAUCUGGACCACUAAAUUGCAAAUAAAUAAAGUUUACUUAUUCAUCCCUAUACUAAAAGGUGUUUGCUUUAGUACGAUAAUAAAUACGUAUAGAGAUAUUUAAAAUAUAGACAAAUAAUAAUUAAUCAUAUAGAAUUUAUUUUUCACAUCAGCAUAAAUUUAAAUAAUUUAAAAAUAAAACAACAUUGAUUGAUUAUUCAUGUACAAUCAAUAAUAUUUAUACUCUUCCAUAAAUUUCUGAUGAUCAUUUAUACAAAAAAAAAGAGCACAUCUAAAGAACAAAAAAAAAUUCAGAAGAACUGUUCUAGUGUUCUUAUCUUUUCUGAGUUUUUUUACAUCUCUCUCAAAGAAUGUUUCUCUCUCAAUUGUCAGACUAAAACUCUCUCUUCUUUCUCACACUAGCCCACUACAGUCUCUUUCAGUCUCAUUCGAAUCUCGUCUCAGUCACACUCGCCGACGUCUCCACGUGUCGCGGCCUUCCCUGGGAUCCUCGUCGCCGGCGACAGAAGCAACUCGUCGGGUCGUCGUCGCUCGUCGUCUUCUGCUUUCGCGACCUCGCCGUCGCCGAGUCGCCGUAGACCGUAGUCAGUUGGUGAGUCCCUGCAUCGUCGCUUCCCCUAUUCCAUCUUUUCCAGAUUUUCCUUCUCCUUGUAUUUUGAGAUGAUGUUGAAUUGCUAACCAAUUAAUUUACUUUGUUUCUGAUCUAAAUGUUGCUGUAAAUCAUUGUCGGUAAAAUCAUUGUAAUAAUUCUCUUAAAAUUGUUCAUUUUAUAAUAAUUGAUUCAAAGAAGUUGUACCAACUUGAUCUUGAAGAAGAAACAAAUUAUCUUUUGGAAAAGAGGAAGAAGAAGAAGAAGCCCUUUCCCAGUGGAGCUUCCACGGCACCUGCCAAAUUUUUUGAUGCUUUCACAGAAUUCAAUUGCAAUACCGUAUCUAAUGCGUUUGUUUGUUUGUUGUGUUUCAGGUAUUUCUAGAAAUUCUUUGCACAAGAGGCGCACCACUGGUGGAAAGAAGAAGGUUUGUAGUUUGGAGGAAGAAGAGAAAGUAUGCUUUCACUCUCUUUUUCAAUUCUCUGUUUUUCUUAAUUUUUUUUCCGAAGUGCCUUAGUUUCUCUUAGUUUCAAAACCAAAUCCUUCCGAAUUUCAACCCUCGUCUGAAUUUCAACCCAAAUCCUCUGUCCGUGAUCUAGCGAAGUGGGAGAGCGAGAAUAUAAGGAUUCUUUGUGGCGAUGAGGUCGAAGAAGGAAUGGAGAAUGGUGUGCGAGGAAAUGGAGAAAAGCUUGCAAUGAAUGAUGGAAACUACGAAGGAGGAACACUGGUUUUAACAGUGUGUGGCUUUGGUUUCGAUGAUUCCAAUGGAAAGGGGAGAAAACAUCAGCGUCACGGUUUCAAGUUUCAACUAGCUUGGAACAAUAAAAUCCUACCUUUGUUAGAACUCACCAAAUCAUGAAACAGCUUCUGAUUGCGCGAAGGAGGCUGACGGCGAGACUCGAAGCAAGAAGACGACGAGUCCCAAGACCUGCUGCUUCUGCCGCCGGCGACGAAGAGCGCAACGAAGGCGCCCGACUAUGUGCAAGACGAUGACGAGACAGAGAGCAACGGCGACGCCACGGUGAGAAAGAUGAGAGAGCCCGAGCUCCAGGGGGAGAGAGAGAUACGAACAGGAGGGAGGAACUUGAGAAGAUGAAGUGGGUUUCUGUCUUUCUGAAACCAGAUUUCAGAAGGAAUUUUUUAUUUUUUU
This 62109-nucleotide long non-coding RNA is filed under the name Arachis ipaensis. RNAcentral describes it as "long non-coding RNA (AIPA_LNC000403)". Lineage: Eukaryota; Viridiplantae; Streptophyta; Magnoliopsida; Fabales; Fabaceae. The record is from RNAcentral.